Molecule: long non-coding RNA, 73647 nt
Filed under: Gossypium barbadense (sea-island cotton)
Lineage: Eukaryota; Viridiplantae; Streptophyta; Magnoliopsida; Malvales; Malvaceae
Description: long non-coding RNA (GBAR_LNC013552)
Source: RNAcentral
CAUCUUCACCUAAAAUUCAAAAGAAAGAAACCAUGGGAGCAUGCUAGGUUCGACCAUGGCAUUUUUGUGUGCAUGGUAUGUGUUUUAACUUCACUUUUAAUUAUUUUUAUGUUUUCGAGAUCGUUGUAGCUUAAUCUAGCUAGCCGGUGGACUAAUUUGCAAAACUGUUAAAGGGUUAGGGUUUUACCAUGAUUUUUUUUGUGAUUUUUGAUGUUUUUUGGAAGAAAAUGAAUCUUUAUUGUUAAAUAAGCAACUUUUGUAAAGUGAUUUGUGAAAAAAUUAUCAUUUAGGGACUAUUAUGUAAAAGUGGUAAAAUGUUAUGAUGAAAUUAUGAAUUAAUGUUUUUUUUGGGUUGAUAUGAGUCCCUAGGAAAAUCGACUAGCAUGGUAUGUGGAUGAAAUUGUAUGAAUUUUCAUUUAUGAGCUUAAGGACUAAAUUGUAAAGAAAAUAACAUAAUAGGGGCAAAAGCAUAAUUUUGCAAGAGUCUGAAUUUUGGAUAGAAUUGAGUAGAAUGAAUAUUAAAUGAAUUAAAUUUCCUUAUUUAGAUCAAGUUAAGCCUCAUACGGAUCUAGAUCGAGGGAAAGAUAAAGUCUUGGACUAGUUGAUUCUUUUUUGUCGUCUUUGUAUUCUAGGUAAGUUCUUAUGUUUAAAUAGCAUUUUAAUGUUUUUUGAAUUAAAUGCUAUUAUGCUAUUUAUCAUAUCAUGUUACAAAAAAAAAUCCAAUGAUGUUAUAGUGACUAUCGAGCUCCGUUUGAACUUUAGGAAUAUAUAGGAUACAAAUGACAUGUCAUUAGGGUUACCAUGUUUCGGGUGCUAGUCCUGAAUGUCCUACUGAUGGCGGAGUUCUGGCAUUUGUUGUGAAUAGUCGUCAACUUGUGUAAGCGGCAUCAUGUAGCUACAUUCUGUCCGUCAGCUUGUGUGAGCAGGCACAUUUAUGGCUCGAGUGAGCAUCGAUGUAAAAGAAAAAUGAAAGGAAAUGGUUUCGACCAUAUGUUUAGCACAUUUUGUGAGAGCUUCCCACGUAUCCGAUAUUAUUCUAUGUGGUUCAACAGGCAUGUAAAGGGAAGGAAUGGGAAGUGUUCCGAUCAGCUAUAUUAUGAACUUAUAGAGGGGUAUCAAAUGUUAGAAAUCAAUGUAUGAAUAUUCAUGAUGAUGGAAAAUAUGAACUAAAUGGUGCUAUGUUCAUGUAUUAUACCUUACCAUGUGAUGAAGUUGUUAAGUUAUGUGUUUAAACACUAACUAUUGUUGUUGAUAAUGCUUAGGCUAGUGCCAAGCUUGUGUUGGAUUAAUUCAUGUCCAUUUUAUAAGAUUUUGCAUUGAUAUGGUAAGCUAUGUUCAUGAUUUACAAACUUAUUAAGCAUUAUAUGCUUACGUAGUUUUCUAUCCUAUGUUUUAUAGAUUAUCAAAAACUCGAUCGGUUUGGAAGCUCGUCAGAGACCUAUCACACUAUCCAGAGAUAAUAUCGGUAGAUUUUGAUGUUUUAGUCAUGGUUAUAAUUGUAACACCCCUAACCCGUAUCCAUCGCUGAAAUAGGGUUACAGAGCGUUACAAUAAAAACAUAUUGUAAAAACAUACAUUUUCAGUAUGAAUAUAAUCAUAGCAUAACUCAAUCACAUACAUGCAUAUCGUCCCUUAUUCGAUCCUUCGAGGCCCUAGAAACACUUUAGAAACAAUUCGGGACUAAAUCGAAAACAUUUGAAACAUCGAGGAAAAAGUUAGAAAAAUUUAAACUACAGGGGUACAUGGCUGUGUGGCCAAGCCGUGUGACUCACACGGCUGGGACACACACUCGUGUCUUAGGUCGUGUAAAAAUCAAAAUAAGGACACACAGUCGUGUCUCAGCCCGUGUCCUUACCUGUGUAACUCUCUGACUUGGGUCACACGGCCAAGCCAUACGCUUGUGUGCUAGGCCAUGUGCUAGGCUGUGUAACUACCUGACUUGAAACCUUUAAAAACUACAUGGGACACACGGUCGUGUUGCUUGGCUGUGUGUCACACACGGCUGAGACACACGCUCGUGCCUUAGGCUGUGUGGGCAAGAAAUUGGCCAAAAUCAAGCCAUUUCCAUCACCCAUUUCAAACAUGUACCUACAAGCCAUUUGCACUCUUAACCCAAAGCAUCUAAACAUACCAAUUCAAGCAUAAAACAACCAAUUCAAUGAACCAUAAAUCCAUCCAACCAAUAUGCCAACAAGGCACCUCAAAUGCAUUUAACCAUAUCUUACCUAAACAUGGAAACAUUACCACAUUUCAUACAUACCUAUUAAGAUCAAUACCAUUUCAAAACUUACCCUUUUUUUACUACAACAAAACUAUUCCAACACAUACCAUAUCUUGACCAUAUUGAAACCAAUUCAUCACAUAUCAUUUUAGUCAUUCAAACAUGCAUCAAAACUAAAUCAUAUUAACACAUACUAAUAAGGCAUCAAAAGUACCAAACCAAAUAACUUAUACAAACUAAAAUAUCAAUAAACAUUCAACUAAACAUCAUUAUAAGUCCACCUAUACAUGCCAUUAUAACCAUAACCAUCAUAUCAAAACUACCAAAUUGACUACUGGAUAGUGUGAUAGAUUUCCGACGAGCUUCCAACCCAAUCGAGCUUUUUGAUGACCUACAGGAAAACAAAACAAUUAACAUAAGCAAAAAUGCUUAGUAAGUUCGUAUAAAUGUAACCUAACUACUGAACAUAUUAGAAUAAACAACUAGGCAUAAAUUAUAACAACCCAAACUCGAUCUAAACGUUAUGACCGAAUCUGGCGAUGUCACAUUUUAACACCCCUUACCCGUAUUCGACGCCGGAAUAGGGUACGAGGCAUUACUAAAAGACAUACAUUUGCAUAUGUAUUAAACUGAGUUACAAAAUUUCAUCCGAAUUAAAACUUUCAAAUUUUUAUCGUGCUUUUAUAAUUCUUUACAACAUAUCCUCGAAAUAUUAUAUUCAUAACAAAUAGGGCCUACGAGACCCGAUAUUUACUCAUAUAAUUCAAAGCUUCAUUUCCAUUUCAUUCAAUUCACAAUUUCUCAUGUUCACAAUUCAAAUCAAUUUCUCAACCCAAUAUAUAUUUCAAUCAUCUAAGAAUAUAAUUCAAGUUACACGAACUUACCAGGCUAAAUUGUAAAAAUACCAAAAUUUAGGGACAUUUUGGUAAUUUUCUAUUUUCCUCGAAUUUCCACCCAAUCUUGAUAUAAAUUAAUAUUUCACUCAAUUUAUUAAUUUAAAUAAUAAACAAAUCAUUUCAUGAAAUUUGAUCACUUUUUGACAUUUUUACAAAAUUACCCUUAAAAUUUUACUUUUAUUCAAUUUAGUCCCUAAACCUAAAACAUGCAAAUUACCUAUUUUAAAAUAAACUCAUAUUAGCUAAAUACUCAAAUAUAUUUUUCCUUCACCUCCACUCCAUUCCACAUCCUUGAUAAAUACAUAAUACCACUAUUAACUUGUUUACGCAUAACAAGCUGUUCACUUGAGUCAUAGUCACUAAAUUAAUUAUAUCUUAAGCUACAGAACUCUGAAUUGAGAUCUGAAAAUUUUCUCUGAAACUAGGCUCACAUAUAUUCUUACCAUAAAAUUUUCAGAAUUUUUGGUUUAUCUAAUAAUUACAGUUUAUUCAUUAAAUCUUUCCCCUGUUUCACUGUUUGACAAUUCCAACCCCUUUUCACUAAAAAUUAAUUAUCUCUUUGUACAGAAUUUGAAUUAUGUUCCCAUUUGUUUCUAUUGAAAAUAUAAAUUAUAACCCAUAAUUAUUUUUUUACAAUUUUUAAUGAUUUUUCCAAGUCAGAAUGGGGGGAACCCGAAUUCAUUCUGACCUUGUCUCACAAAAUUUAUUAUAUCUCAUGAUUUAAAAUUCCAUUACUUACAAAGAUUCUUCUAUGAGAAACUAGACUCAAUAAUAUUUAUUUCCAUAUUUUAUUCAUACUCUAAUUCUAUUUCCACAAUUUAUGGUUAUUUUUCAAAUUUAACCUACUGCUGCUGUCCAAAACUGUUUUAGUGCAAAAUGUUGAUUACUAGGUGUAUAACUCCCUUAUUCCCUUUCUCUAUAAUAUUUCCCAUCACUUUCACUUAUUUCUCUUCACUAAUAUAUCAAGAACAUAAGACUGUAUAUAAGAAAACUCUACUAUAACAUUAUUUCCAUGCUUUUUCAAUAAUAUCAAACUUAAAAAUAUAUUGAAAUCUUGAUGUUCUUACCUUGUGCUAUUGAUUUUAAUCUUUAACUUCAUUUUCUCUCUCCUCCAGCUUCUAUUUCUUAAAUCUAACUUGAUAUUCUAGCUCCCCAUUGUCUCCUUGUUAUUCUUCUCUCUUGGAAGCUAUGGAAAUUCUUUUGAUUUCUAGGUGAAAAUGGUAAAUUUUUUGUGGAAGGACCAAAUUGUAAAGAAAGUAAAACUUUCUUUCUUCUCCUCUCUUCUCACGUUAGUUGCAUGGAAAUAUGGUGGAAUGGAUGAUUCUUCAUCUUCCUUUUCUUAUAUAUACUAAAUAAAAUACUAAUAAAAUAAUAAAAUAUCAUUUAAAAAUUAAAUUAAAAUAUUAAUAAACUAAUAUUUAUUUAUUUAAUAUAAAAUAUCUCCAACAUCAUCAUUAUCUUCUAAAUUUCUCUCUACCAUUUUGCCCUUUAUAAUCUUUAAAAAUUUCACCUUGAGUCAUCACUUAAUUUGGUAAAAUUGUGAUUUAGUCCCUCAAAAUUCUUCACCUUUUAAAUUUGGUCCUAAUUCAUCCAUUUUCCUUAGUUUCUAGAUUAUUCCACCCUUAAAAUAUUUACACUAUUGGUCCUUCAAAUUUUUUGUAUUUACACUUUAAUCCCUCAAAUUUUGAGUAUUUACUCUUGGGCAACAAAACUUUUCUCACUUUUGCGAUUUAAUCCUUUCUUGAAUUAAUAUGUCAUAAUAUAAUUCCCAAUGUUGCCAUUAUGCAAAAUUUCUCUUUUUGUCACUUUAUUUUCUUAUUUUCCUAUCAAGGGUACUUACUUUCUUACUGUAGUAAUUUUCGGUGUAUUACAUUUCUCCCCCCUUAAAAUAAAUUUCGUCCUCGAAGUUUCCUUGUUUUGUUUUGAUCAUGAACUUCAUCAUUUCUGUAUUCUUUUAAUUAUCCUUUUCUAUCCAUUUUUAUCACUAACAUUUCUAGUUUUUAUAUCAUUUUGUACUUCCUUUUCAAUAAUAUUCUUCUUUUUACUUAAUCGAGCUCUUAUUUCCUCUCUUUCCACUUAACCAGAAGUCCUUUCUUCAUUUAGUUUUCUUAAAAUCAUCUCUAUAAUUCUAUAGUUCCCUUCUGCACAUAUUUACCGAGCUUAGUAUUUGUAUUCAUUCUCUAUCCUUUCAUUUCACAAUUUAUUUUUAAUUCAAUAUUUCAAACAUGAAUCAGAGGUAAACCUUUACCUUGUAGCGAAAGUUAUUUAUCUUUUUUCUAGCAGAGGCCCAGUAGAUUAGAUAGAACACUUAGGAUAUACGAAACUGAUACGAAAGUGCAUUAUUAUGCAUUAUUAAACAGAAAGCACUAAAGUGUUAUAUAGAGAACAUAAAUGUGCUAAUAAUCGGAGAGAACUAGCGUGCUAUUAAUCAGAGAGUGUGCUAGGGUCCUUUAAUGAUAUACCACUAAUAUCCUAGUAGUUCUAAUCUCAUCUACUUGGGAAAAUUAUAUCAUGCAUGUAUAUCACUUUUACACUUUUCGCAUAAUGCUUUUACAUCCUUUACAAUUUAAUCCUUGUACCAAUAAUCCGUAUAUUUUUAUCUUCUCUAUCUUUAAUAUAUGUAUUAUAUUUCAAAAUUCAUUAUUCAUCCAUAAUUUACUAAUAAUCCAUAUCAUGUACUUCACAUAUCACGUUUAUAUGUUUUGCAAUUUAGUCAUCAGCACAAUAUUUCUUUUAGCAAAACAAUACACUUUCUAAGUAUGCACGCAAAACAGAAUAAUAACCAGUCAUAAACUGAUCAGACCAACAGGGUUUUUGUCUAACAUUAUAAUUAGCUAACAUUCUCACAACAUAAGAACUCUAUCAGAACUGAACAAUUACACAUACAUAUCUUUGAGGAUAAAAGAAUAUAUAUAAUAUCUAGAAAAUAUCAUCAUGUUCAUUUCGACUGUAACCUUCACACACAGACAUCUUUACCACUUAAUUAUCAUUUCUCUGACUAAUUCUGUUAUCAUGAACCUCACUUUAUUCCACUCAGUAAAAAAAAAACUUCCAGUUAAUACAUACAUUCUUUUAGGUAUCAUACCUGAAUAUUUUGUCUCAUCAAAUUUAACUUCUUCUUUAUUUACUCUCUUACUUGUUUAUUUACUUGCUUGCAUAAACAACUCAUGAUUAUAACUUACUCCUUCCUUGCUGAAAUUAUUUUCUCAACUGAUAACUGAAAUAUUCUUAAUCCUUAUACUUACCUGAAUCUGCUAUUGUACUUUUACCUGAACAUUCAUGUAACAUAAUUUCUUUACUAGCCCGUUGAAUCACUUAGAAUACUAAGGAUACUCGGGUCUCCUGUCUGAUAAUAACAUGCCAAAGCUAUGUCCCAGACAUAGUCUUACAUGGGAUGUUUUCUAUAUUGCCAAUGCCAUAUCCCAGAUAUGGUCUUACAUGGGAGUUCUCAUAUCGGUGUCCAUGCCAUGUCCCAGACAUAGUCUUACGGGGGACCUCUCAUCUCGGUGCCAACGCUAUGUCCUAGACAUGGUCUUACAUGUGACCUCUCAUCUCGGUGCCAAUGCCAUGUCCCAGACAUGGUCUUACAUGGGACUUCUUAUCUCGGCGCCAACGCCAUGUCCCAAACAUGGUCUUACAUGGGACCUCUCAUCUCAGUGCCAACGCAAUGUCCCAGACAAGGUCUUACAUGGGACCUCUCAUCUCGGUGCCAGCGCCAUGUCCCUGACAUGGUCUUACACUGGCUCACAUAUUGAUGUUGAUGCCAUGUCCCAGAUAUGGUCUUAUACGAGAUCACACGCCGAUGUCAUAUCUCAGAUAUGGUCUUAUAUGGAAAUCACAUAUCACAUGUUGCCAUGGUCCAACCAUGGUCUUUUCCGUCAAUUCAUCACAUAUCACUGAACGAAAGUACUCUUUCCUGUGUUUUACUUAAUUUGAUCUUUCAAUUUAGUUUUCAUACUAUUAUAAUAUUCAUAGUUCAAUGCAAAGACAUAAAAAAAACAUCAUAUUAUUUCUAAUUUAACAAUUAAACAUAAGAUUCUACCAUAUAAACAUACUGAUUACACUUAUUCAAGCAAGUGUACAUAAACAUACAUUCCAUCUAUUUGUGUAUAUUUACUUACCAUAUUUACUUACUCAAAUAUGUUGAACACAAAACAUCAUAUGCGCACCAAGCAAACGCGGAUGAGCAUAUCACCAUAUAAACUUUCAUUUUAUUCUACGAUUCUACAUUUCUCAACUCAUGUUUGUCUUACUUCAUACGUUAACACAUACUUAUCAUGAAUUUUCUAUUCAUACCUUUCUAAAUUUCGUUUCAUCAUAAACACAUUUCAAUCACCUCAACAUAAAUUUUUUUUAGCAUUAUUGGAAACAACUCAGUUAGAAGUCAUCUCUGUCUUACAAAACAAUUUCAUUGGAGUAGGAAGAUAUUACAUUAUCACGAGUAAUAAUAUGGCAUGUAUAGCUAAACUCACAUACGCUAUGUUAGUCCGAGAACCGACUAAACCAUAGCUCUGAUACCAAUAAUUAUAACACCCCAAACUCGGUCUAAACAUUAUGACCGAAUCUGGCGAUGUCACAUUGUAACACCCCUUACCCGUAUUCGACGCUGGAAUAGGGUACGAGGCAUUACUAGAAGACAUACAUUUGUAUACGUAUUAAACUGAGUUACAAAAUUUCAUCCGAAUUAAAACUUUCAAAUUUUUAACGUGCUUUUAUAAUAUUUUACAACAUAUCCACGAAAUAUAAUAUUCAUAACAAAUAGGGCCUACGAGACCCGAUAUUUACUCAUGUAAUUCAAAGCUUCAUUUCCAUUUCAUUCAAUUCAUAAUUUCUCAUGUUCACAAUUCAAAUCAAUUUUUCAAUCCAAUAUAUAUUUCAAUCAUCUAAGAAUAUAAUUCAAGUUACACGAACUUACCAGGCUAAAUUGCAAAAAUACCAAAAUUUAGGGACAUUUUGGUAAUUUUCUAUUUUCCUCAAAUUUCCACCCAAUCUUGAUAUAAAUUAAUAUUUCAUUCAAUUUAUUAAUUUAAAUAAUAAAAAAACUUAUUUCAUGCAAUUUGGUCACUUUCUGACAUUUUUACAAAAUUACCCUUAAAAUUUUACUUUUAUUCAAUUUAUUCCCUGAACCUAAACAUGUAAAUUAGCUAUUUUAAAAUAAACUCAUAUUAGAUAAAUAUUCACAUAUAUUUUUCCUCCUCCUCCACUACAUUCCACAUCCUUAAUAUAUACAUAAUACCACUAUUAACUUGUUUAGUCAUAACAAGUUGUUCAUUUGGGUCAUAGUCACUAAAUUAAUUAUAUCUUAAGUUACAGAAUUUCGAAUUGAGAUCUGAAAAUUUUCUCUGGAACUAGACUCACAUAUAUUAUUACCAUAAAAUUUUCAGAAUUUUUGGUUUAUCCAAUAAUUACAGUUUAUUCUUUAAAGUUUUCCCAUGUUUCACUGUUUGACAGUUCCGACCCCUCUUCACUAAAAAUUAAAUAUCUCUUUGUACAGAAUUUGAAUUAUAUUACCAUUUGUUUCUAUUGAAAAUAGACUCAUUAAGUAUUUUAAAAAUAUAAAUUAUAACCCAUAUUUAUUUUUUUACAAUUUUUAAUGAUUUUUCCAAUUCAGAAAAGGGGUACCCGAAUUCAUUCUAACCUUGUCUCACAAAAUUUAUUAUAUCUCAUGAUUUAAAAUUCCAUUACUAACACAGUUUCUUCUAUGAGAAACUAGACUCAAUAAGAUUUAUUUCCAUAUUUUAUUCAUACUCUAAUUCUAUUUCCACAAUUUAUGGUUAUUUUUCAAAGUUAACCUACUGCUGCUGUCCAAAAUUGUUUUAGUGCAAAAUGUUGAUUACUAGGUGUAUAACUCCCUUAUUCCCUUUCUCUAUAAUAUUUCCCAUCACUUUCACUUAUUUCUCUUCACUAAUAUAUCAAGAACAUAAGACCUUAUAUAAUAAAACUCUACUAUAACAUUAUUUCCAUGCUUUUUCAAUAAUAUCAAACUUAUAAAUAUAUUGAAAUCUAUGUUCUUACCUUGUGCUAUUGAUUUCAAUCUUUAACUUGAUUUUCUCUCUCCUCCAGCUUCUCUUUCUUGAAUCUAACUUGAUAUUCUAGCUCCCCAUUGUCUCCUUGUUAUUCUUCUCUCUUGGAAGCUAUGGAAAUUCUUUUGAUUUCUAGGUGAAAAUAGUAAAUUUUUGGUGGAAGGACCAAAUUGUAAAGAAAGCAAAACUUUCUUUCUUCUCCUCUCUUCUCACGUUAGUUGCAUGGAAAUAUGGUGAAAUGGAUGAUUCUUUAUCUUCCUUUUCUUAUAUAUAUUAAAUAAAAUACUAAUAAAAUAAUAAAAUAUCAUUUAAAAAUCAAAUUAAAAUAUUAAUAAACUAAUAUUUAUUUAUUUAAUUUAAAAUAUCUCCAACAUCAUCAUUAUCUUCUAGAUUUCUCUCUCUUCUAAUUGACCAUUUUGCCCUCUAUAAUCUUUAAAAAUUCCAUCCUUGAGUCAUCACUUAAUUUGGUAAAAUUGUGAUUUAGUCCCUUAAAAUUUUUCACUUUUUCAAUUUGGUCCUAAUUCAUCCAUUUUCCUUAGUUUCUAGAUUAUUCCACCCUUAAAAUAUUUACACUAUUGGUCCUUCAACUUUUUCAUAUUUACACUUUAAUCCCUCAAAUUUUGAGUAUUUACUCUUGGGUAACAAAACUUUUCUCACUUUUACGAUUUAAUCCUUUCUUGAAUUAAUAUGUCAUAAUAUAAUUCCCAAUGUUGCCGUAACUCAAAAUUUCCCUUUUUGCCACUUUAUUUUCUUAUUUUACUAUCAAGGAUACCUACUUUCUUACUGUAGUAAUUUUCAGGGUAUUACAUAAAUUCUCAUUAUAUCAUAAGUUAACUUUCACUUUUCUAUUCAAUACACCUUUCAUGGACACCUAAUGUAGCUUUGUAUAUACAUAAAUAUAUAUAUUUUUAAGCAUUUCAUAUAACGAUUUCACUUAAACGUUUCUGCUUACCAUAAUACUUACACAUUUAACAUAUAUUCAUAUUGUAAUUAAUCUUUCAUUUCAAAGUCUCAUAUAAACAUAUUAACCUGAAUCACUUACUUUCACUAAACAAUGUGAAAACUAAAUAAAUAUAUUAAUCAUACCUUUUAUUUAUUCACGAAGCACUUAUAAAAUUAGUAAUAAAAAUGGUUCAUCAUAUGCUACCUGUACUAUAAUAAUUCAAUCCAAACUCAUUCAUAUAUGUAUAUAAAUAUCUAACUUCAACCAUAUAAUCAUCAAUAUAAUUAUACUCACGUAUGAUCAAAUAGAUCAUUGAACAUUUAAUAUUUACUACUAUCUUGUCUAUACUUUAGCCGAUAAGCACAUAAAUAAUUUUGUAAAUGCCAUUAACCUUUAUGAUGCGAUCUCGGUCGCAUCAUGUUACGACACAACUCGAUGCUACCGAGAUUGUCCCAAACUCGAGGGGCCCAAGUGCAAAAUGAAGUUUUUAAUUUCAGUUUAUCAAUUUGGCUGCUGGAAAAUAAGGACUUUGAUUCAUUAAUUUUUAGUUAUUUUAGUUUGUGUUUCUAAUUAUGUCGUAGUUUGCACAUCAUUAAUAUAUGUUCUGCAUUUAAUAAAGUCAUGCAUUAUGUAACUUUCAUGUUAGUUAAGUUUGCAUCAUUAAAUUAAGUCAAGUUAGUUUAAUUAUGUAACUUUCAUGUUAGUUAAAUUUGUAUUUCAAAACCAUGCAUUUAAGCAUCUUAUUUUAAUAAAUGAGUUGCUGGACAUUUAUUCAACUCAUCUUAGUUUUAAUUAAUAAGUGUUUUUGUUUAACUUUAUUUAAUAAGUGUUGUUCUUAAUUAAUCUAGUUCCUAGGAUUAUUUAUUGAUGCAUGAGUUAAGUUCAUUUAAUUAUGCUUCUUUAAUUAAACUAGUGCUGGAAUAAUUAUUGCAUAUAUGUUUUAGUUCAUUUAUUUAAGUAAGUAAUAAUGUGUGUUAUGAUUAAUAAGUGUUUUCAUGUGUUUAAUAAACUCAUUUUAAUGUGUUUAUUGCAGGUGACUUUUCAGCUCAUAGUGGUUACAAUUUAAGGUUGUUAUACAUUAAAUUAAGUGGCUGUUCAAGUUAUUUUCAGUUACAAUUAAAUGGGCUGUUAUAAAGGAAGCUUAAAAAUCAUUAAAGGAGUUUUUAAAGAGCAUUUUAUGCCCUUUAAAAUUCGGUAGCAACCCUUCUUCUUCCAGCCGUUUUUUGGAGCUUUCAAGAGAAUUUAAUCAAGCCUUUUAAAUGUCAUUGGUGUCUAUUCAACUGGCCAAGGACAACUCAAGAGUCAUUUUUAAGCCAUUAAAGACAUUCAAAUUAGUUGAAUUGAAGUGAAUUUAUGGAAGGAGUUAUUUGGUUCAAGCAUAAGAAAAGACAUGAGUUUUUAUGGCACAUUAAGUUGGAUCUAUUUAACCACUCAAUUACCUUGUUCCAGCAUUAUAAAUAGAUGUAAUCAGCCUCAGAGAAGGGACUUUUUUGCUGAAUAUACAUGAAAUCUUUGAAUGGUGAGUUAUCCAAUUCUUUUUGUUCUUACGGAAUUUAUUUGACUUAUCAAGCAUAGCUUGUGGCGUCUAUCUUUUCUUGUUUGUCGAACUUAUUACCUUUGGUGUGGCGUUCAAUAAACCUUUGGUUCCUAUCAUAGUUGAUAGAGGGUCAAGGUUUCUUGCUGUUUCUUUAAACCGAUAAACACCUAAGAAUGUAACACCCCUUACCCGUAUUCCUUACCGGAACAGAGUAUGAGGUAUUACUAAAUUUUUAAAAAUUUUCGACAGCAUUCCUACUUAUUUUUGCUUAAACCUUCUGCAAAUUUAGAACACAUUCCAAUAUACCAACCAAUUUCAUUUGUAUAAACACACAUAUAGUUUAACUAUUAAUAAACACUACAUUUAAAAGGGAACCAUAACAUAUAUUUACAUGAUGAUCCCACAUUACAUAAAGUGUCUAUACAUGCCAUAAAAUUUCGGAACACUAGUAGUAAAAUACCCCAAAUGUGAAGGAUAGUGUAGAUGAUUGUCUGACUUCGUUCCAAUUUCCGAGUUGUUGGAAGUCACUAUAACCAAGAGAAAAAUAAAAUCGAGUAAGCAUAUAGCUUAGUAAGUAAACACAUGAUAAAUAAGUAAUUACUCCCAUAACUACACCAAAAUAUAAACUUAUUCAUGAAUAACUUUAUUGUUUAGGCAAUUUCCAGCAAGCUAUUUUUCUGCGUCAUAGUCGCUAAUUUAUUUUUAUCUGGAGCUACAGAGCUCCAAAUUGAGUUCCGUAAAUUUUCCCUGAAACUAGACUAAUAUACCAUUUUACCAUAAAAAUUUCAGAAUUUUUAACCCAGCCAAUUAGUACAGUUUAUUCAUUAAACCUUCCCCUGUUUCACUGCCCAACGGUUCUGACCCUUCCUCACUAAAAUUUACUUAACUCUCUGUACAAAAUUUGAAAAAUGGGUUUUCUUGUUUCUAAUAAAAAUAGACUCAAUAAGGAUUCCAGGGAUAUAAAUUUCAUGCCAUAAUUUUUUUUUUCAAUUUUUGGUAAUUUUCCAAAGUUAGAACAGGGGAUCUCGAAAUCAAUCCAGCCCUGUUUCAGUAAAAUUCAGAUAUCUCCAAAAAUACAACUCUUUUGCUUAUUCUAUUUCUUUCAUAUGAAAAUAGACACAUUCAGCUUCAAUUUCAUAUAUUAUUCAGCUUCCCAUUCAUUUUCCACCAUUUAUGGUGAUUUUUCAAAGUUACCCAACUGCUGUUGUUCAACACAGUUUAUAAUUAAAUCGUUCCUUUUGCGUUUUUGAUAUUUUCUCCCAUCUCAUACAUGGGUCGAUUUAGUAUUCAACUCAAUAUUUACCCCAUAAAAUUUUCCACCAUAUGGAAAUAUUCAUCUUCCACACUUUUUCGUUGAACACUUGGAAUGUUAACCGUUAUUGGUGGAUCUCGCACUUAGCACCACCGCUGAAUCGGGGAAUCAGCACUUAGCAACCCCUCGGGGGAAUCAGCACAUAGCAACCCCUUUCACAUUUCAAAGAUAUGGUGGAUAUCGCACUUAGCACCACCAAUGAACCGGGGAAUCAGCACUUAGCAACCCCUCGGGGGAAUCAGCACAUAGCAACCCCCUUUUCACAUUUCAAAGAUAUGGUGGAUCACGCACAUAGCACCACCAAUGAAUCGGGGAAUCAGCACACAGUAACCCCUUUAUAUACAACAUACUCCGGCUUAUUCCGAGUGUUCAACCCAUAAACCAUAUAUUGCAACCCUUUACCACCUUUCCCGAUUUAACAACAUUUUUAGGAUAUGGCCAAACAUUUAUUUUAAUUCCAAAUAAAUCUCAACAUAUAUCAAAUAAUAUCAAAAUAAUACAUUAAGUCACAUGUUUACUUACCUCGGUGCAAAAUAUCGUAAUUUUGCACUUUACUCCCCUAUCUUUUCUUUUCCCCGUUUGAUAUACUCUUCACGUCUUUCUUGAUCUAUAAUAGCAAAUUUAACUCGUUUAAUAUUCACAUUUAUUAAAAUAAUCCACCACCCAACUUUUUGAAAAUUACAAUUUUGCCCCCAAACUUUUGCAUAAUUACACUUUUGUCCCCAAGCUCGGAAAUUAAACUUCAUCACUUAUUCUUAAGUUUUAUAACAUGCUGAACAUUUUUCCCUUCUAUGGAAACAUCAAAUUCCCACUCCAACACAUACUUUUGAAUAUUAAUUAUUUUUACCGAUUAUGUCUAUUUACCCGUUUUCGCUUAAAAUUGCUUAGCAAAAGUUGUUUAACAUAAUCUCUAGCUUCAUAUUCCACCAUAAAACAGCAAAAUAAACACAUUUCACCUAUGGAUAUUUUUCCAAAUAUGAACCCUAACUUGAAUUAAUGGUAGAAUAAGCUAAACCAAGUUACCGGGACUCCAAAAAUACGAAGAACAUUAAAAACGGGGCUUAGAAUCACUUACUAUGGAGCUUGAAAGCUUAAAAACCCUAAAUAUGGCUUCCCCCUUGCUGAUUUCGUUCACCAUGAAGAAGAUGAGCAUAUUUUGCCAUCUUUUUCCCAUUUAAUUCUAUUUAAUAACCAAAUGACUAAAAUGCCCCCAUUUAAAAAAAAUCUAUUUCACCCAUUUCUUAUGUCUAUUUUUGUCCAUCAACUAACUAAUGGUCUAAUUACCACAUAAAGACCUCCAAUUUAAAAUUUCAUAACAAUUAGACACCUCUAAGAUGUAGAACUCAACUUUUGCACUAUUUACAAUUUAGUCCUUUUGACUAAAUUGAGUGCCCAAACGUCGAAAUUUUCGAACGAAAUUUUUACGAAAAUUUUCCGUGAAAUUGUAGAUCAUAAAAAUAUAAUAAUAACCAUAUUUUCCCUCGUCGGAUUUGUGGUCCCGAAACCACUAUUCCGACUAGGCCCAGAAUCGGGCUGUUACAACUCUCCCCCCCUUAGGGAUUUUCGUCCCCGAAAAUCUUACCGGAAAAGAGGUUUGGGUACUGUUUCCUCAUAAUUUCCUCCGGUUCCCACGUAGCCUCUUCCAUUCCAUGUUUUUGCCACAACACUUUCACUAAGGCUACACUUUUAUUUCUUAACUGUUUGACCUCCCGAGCCAAAAUCUUUAUGGGUUCUUCUUCAUAAGUCAUAUCUGGUCGAACCUCAAUCUCUGUAGGAGAAACUAUAUGUGAAGGAUCCGAACGAUAACGUCGCAACAUCGACACAUGAAAUACAUUAUGUAUCUUUUCCAACUCUGGCGGUAAAGCUAACCGAUAUGCUACAGGGCCAACUCUCUCGGUAACUUCAAAUGGUCCAAUAAAACGUGGACUUAGUUUGCCUUUACGACCAAAUCUCAGAAUCUUCUUCCAUGGGGAUACUUUCAAGAACACUUUAUCACCCACUUGAAACUCAAUUUCUUUUCUCUUUAAAUCCGCAUACGACUUUUGCCGAUCUGAGGCAGCUUUUAGGCAAUCACGGAUUAUUUUCACCUUUUCUUCAGUUUCUUUCACCAGGUCGACUCCAUGAAUCCGAUUCUCACCGAGUUCAGUCCAAUAUAAAGGGGUUCUACAUUUACGCCCAUAUAAUGCUUCAUACGGUGCCAUUUGCAUACUUGACUGAUAACUAUUAUUAUAAGCAAAUUCAACCAGUGGUAGAUAUUUCUCCCAACUGUCCUUCAUUUCUAAAAUACAACACCGGAGCAUGUCUUCAAGAACUUGAAUCACCCUUUCUGAUUGCCCGUCAGUUUGCGGAUGAAAUGCAGUACUGAAAUUCAAUUUCGUACCCAAAGCUUCCUGUAACUUUAUCCAAAACCUCGAAGUAAAUCUCGGAUCUCUAUCCGAUAUAAUAGAUUUAGGCACCCCAUGUAGUCUCACUAUUUCAGCAACAUAUAAUUCAGCCAACCUGUCAAGUGAAUAAUCAAUGCGUAUCGGAAUAAAAUGGGCUGACUUUGUCAAUCUAUCCACAAUUACCCAAAUAGCAUCUUUCUUCUUUGGAGUUAAAGGCAAUCCUGUCACGAAAUCCAUCGUGAUACUGUCCCACUUCCAUUCUGGAAUCGUUAUCGGUUGAAGUAAACCCGAUGGAACUUGAUGCUCAGCCUUUACUUGUUGACAGAUUAAACAUUUUGUUACAAAUUCCGAGAUAUCCUUUUUCAUGCCCGGCCACCAAUACAACUUCCUCAAAUCAUUGUACAUUUUCACACUACCCGGAUGGACUGAUAAAUCACCACUGUGUGCCUCACCUAAAAUAGUCCGAAUUAGCUCAUCAUUUCUCGGUACACAUAUUCUGUCCCUGAACAUCAGGCAAUCAUCUGAACCAAUUUGAAAAUCUGAGUCAACACCUGCUUCACACUGAGCUCUCUUGGCUUGCAAUUUACUAUCAUUCUUUUGAGAUUCCCGAAUUUGCUGAAGAAAUAACGGUCUAGCUCUCAAUUCAAUCAACAUUGAGCCAUCAUCAGAUAAAGUUAACAUUGUACCCAUAGCUCUCAAAGCAAAUAAAGAUUUUCUGCUCAAGGCAUCAGCAACCACAUUAGCUUUCCCGGGGUGAUAAUCAAUCACUAGCUCAUAGUCUUUGAUUAGCUCGAGCCAUCUUCGUUGCCGCAAAUUCAAGUCUUUUUGACUCAUCAAAUAUUUCAAACUCUUAUGAUCAGUGAAGAUUCGGCACUUUUCACCAUACAAAUAAUGACGCCAAAUUUUUAAAGCAAAAACAAUGGCAGCCAAUUCUAAAUCAUGCGUCGGAUAAUUCUUCUCAUGCGGUUUCAACUGUCUCGAAGCAUAAGCUAUUACUUUGCCCUCUUGCAUUAACACACACCCAAGGCCAUUCAACGAUGCAUCACUGUAAAUUACAAAUUCCUUCCCGGACUCAGGUUGCACCAACACUGGCGCCUCAGUCAAUAAUGCCUUCAACUUUUCAAAACUCUGUUGACAUUUAUCGGUCCAUUCAAACUUGACAUUCUUCUGCAGUAACUUAGUCAUAGGAGAAGCAAUCAUCGAGAAUCCCUUGACAAACCGUCUGUAAUACCCAGCUAAGCCCAGGAAGCUUCUAACUUCAGUCACAUUCUUUGGUGGCUCCCAAUCAACAAUUGCUGAAAUUUUGCUUGGAUCAACUCGAAUACCUUCACUUGAAACUAUAUGUCCCAAGAAUCCAACCUCACGAAGCCAAAACUCACUUUUGCUGAAUUUAGCAUACAAUUUCUUUUCUCUCAGAAUCUGCAACACAGUUCUCAAAUGUUCUGCAUGUUCCGAUUCAUCCCGAGAAUAGAUUAAAAUAUCAUCUCGUUCUAAAGGCGGUUUUCGGCACAUCAGACUCUUUAACUCUCAACUGAUAGUAACCAGACCUCAGAUCGAUCUUGGAGAACACUGUUGCCCCUUUUAAUUGAUCAAACAAAUCAUCAAUUCUCGGCAAAGGAUACUUGUUCUUUAUGGUCACCUUAUUGAGCUGACGAUAGUCAAUACAAAGUCUCAUAGAGCCGUCCUUCUUUUUCACAAAUAACACAGGAGCACCCCAAGGAGAAAAACUCGGUCUCACAAAUCCUUUAUCUGUCAACUCUUGUAACUGAGCUUUUAAUUCCUUCAACUCAGUCGGAGCCAUUCGAUACGGUGCAAUAGAAAUCGGUGCAGUACCAGGUAACAGAUCAAUAGAAAACUCAACUUCUCUAGUCGGAGGUAACCCAGGCAAUUCCUCUGGAAAUACAUCUGGAAAUUCACGGACUACCGGCACUGAUUCAAGCUUCGACCCAGUUAUAUCAGUAUUCAACACAUAAGCAAGAUAAACUUCACAUCCCUUUCUCAAGUAUUUCUGAGCAGACAUGUGCGAAAUCACCAUAGGCAACUUAUUCGGCUCCUCUGUUUCAAUCCGGAAAAUUUCACCAUUUUCACACUUUAAUUCAAGAAUUUUCUGUCUACAAUUCACCUUGGCAUCAUGUAAUAUCAACCAAUCCAUCCCCAAAAUAACAUCGAACUCAUCAAAUGGUAACAACAUCAAAUUAGCCAGGAAACAGUGACCUUGAAUCAUCAGGGGGCAAUUCUUGCAAAUCUUAUCAACUAAGACAUACUUGCCUAAUGGAUUUGAUACUUUAACUACAUAUUCAGUGUUUUCAACAGGCAAUUUCUUACUAGAUACCAAUUUCGUGCAUACAUAUGAAUGAGUAGAGCCGGGAUCAAUCAAAGCAAUAACAUCUAUAUCAUGAAGAGAAAAUGUACCAGUAAUCACAUCGGGAGAUGAGGCAUACUCUCGAGCACGUAUGGCAUAAGUCCUGACAGGUGCUCUAAUUUCUGAUCCUCCAGCUGCAUCUUUCAUCACACUUUUACAACUGACUUUGCUUCCCACAUUUCUCGGCGGUCUCCCUCUACUAACAAUAUCACCUGAUCUAGCACUUGGCAAAUUUUCUUCCUCUCUUCUCUCAGGGCAAUCUCUUACAUAAUGCUCUUGGGAACCACACCUGAAACAAGCUCGUUUAAAUCCCCAACACUCACCAAUAUGUCGCCUGCCACACUGUUGACAUUCAGGCCGGGUGUUUCCUACAUUGCCCACACUUGCUACAGAGGUAGCUCGAGUUGUAGCUCCAGAAUACGACCUCUCUCGGUCUCUGCGUGAAUACCCAACUGAACCAGUUGGUCGUGGAUCCAUCCCUUUAAACUUCUUCGAAUGAGAUUGAAAUGUUCUGCCCAUUGUCCUCUUCCUUACAUCUCGAGAUUCCAUCUCUGCCCUUCUCUUUUCUCUACUCAGUUCUUCAGCUUUACAGGCCCGAUCAACUAACACCACAAAUUCUUUUAACUCUAAAAUCCCAACAUGCAAUCUGAUGUCUUCAUUUAGCCCCUCUUCAAAUCUUUUACACAUAAUAGCCUCCGUAGGCACACAUUCCUGGGCAUAUUUACUAAGUCGAACAAACUCCCGUUCAUAUUCUGCUACGGACAUUCGGCCCUGUUUCAACCCGAGAAACUCUUUGCGUUUUUGAUCAAUAAAUCGUUGGCUUACAUAUUUCUUUCUAAAUUCUUCCUGAAAGAAGUCCCAAGUAACUCUUUCUUUUGGAACCACCGAUAUCAAUGUUUUCCACCAAUGAUAUGCCGAAUCCUUCAAUAAAGACACAGCACAUUUCAAACAUUCUUCAGGGGUGCAAGAUAAUUCAUCAAAUACCCGAAUAGUAUUUUCAAGCCAAAACUCGGCUUUUUCCGGAUCAUCAUCAACAUUGGCCCUAAAAUCUUCAGCCCCAUGCUUUCGAAUUCUAUCAACAGGUGGCUUACUUGAUCUCACCAAUUCGGCACUCCGUGGAGCUACGGGGACCGGUUGAGGAAUAGGAGGGGGUGGAGGAGGAGGAACAUUCGGAUUUACACGGACAUAUUCUAUAUACCAAUCACUCAUCAUUCGGAGGAAGGCUUCCCGAGCCUCAUCCUGUCCAUGUGUCUCAUGUCUACUCUCUUCCUGCGCGGUCCCUUGCGCGAGAGCCGACGCGUUACUUUCAACAUCAUCUGCCACACUUCGAUCAGGAUCCAUUUACUAUAUAAAACAAAAUUUUAAAUUGUCAGAAAUCAUCACACUAUCACAAUAAUUUUAUGGCAUGUAUAGACUGACUUCCACACGUAUUUUAUUGGCCCGAGAACCGACUAAACCGUAGCUCUGAUACCACUAAAAUGUAACACCCCUUACCCGUAUUCCUUACCGGAACAGAGUAUGAGGUAUUACUAAAUUUUUAAAAAUUUUCGACAGCAUUCCUACUUAUUUUUGCUUAAACCUCCUGCAAAUUUAGAACACAUUCCAAUAUACCAACCAAUUUCAUUUGUAUAAACACACAUAUAGUUUAACUAUUAAUAAACACUACAUUUAAAAGGGAACCAUAACAUAUAUUUACAUGAUGAUCCCACAUUACAUAAAGUGUCUAUACAUGCCAUAAAAUUUCGGAACACUAGUAGUAAAAUACCCCAAAUGUGAAGGAUAGUGUAGAUGAUUGUCUGACUUCGUUCCAAUUUCCGAGUUGUUGGAAGUCACUAUAACCAAGAGAAAAAUAAAAUUGAGUAAGCAUAUAGCUUAGUAAGUAAACACAUGAUAAAUAAGUAAUUACUCCCAUAACUACACCAAAAUAUAAACUUAUUCAUGAAUAACUUUAUUGUUUAGGCAAUUUCCAGCAAGCUGUUUUUCUGCAUCAUAGUCGCUAAUUUAUUUUUAUCUGGAGCUACAGAGCUCCAAAUUGAGUUCCGUAAAUUUUUCCUGAAACUAGACUCAUAUACCAUUUCACCAUAAAAAUUUUAGAAUUUUUAACCCAGCCAAUUAGUACAGUUUAUUCAUUAAACCUUCCCCUGUUUCACUGCCCAAUGGUUCUGACCCUUCCUCACUAAAAUUUACUUAACUCUCUGUACAAAAUUUGAAAAAUGGUUUUUCUUGUUUCUAAUAAAAAUAGACUCAAUAAGGAUUCCAGGGAUAUAAAUUUCAUGCCAUAAUUUUUUUUUUCAAUUUUUGGUAAUUUUCCAAAGUUAGAACAGGGGAUCUCGAAAUCAAUCCAGCCCUGUUUCAGUAAAAUUCAGAUAUCUCCAAAAAUACAACUCUUUUGCUUAUUCUAUUUCUUUCAUAUGAAAAUAGACACAUUCAGCUUCAAUUUUAUAUAUUAUUCAGCUUCCCAUUCAUUUUCCACCAUUUAUGGUGAUUUUUCAAAGUUACCCAACUGCUGUUGUUCAACACAGUUUAUAAUUAAAUCGUUCCUUUUGCGUUUUUGAUAUUUUCUCCCAUCUCAUACAUGGGUCGAUUUAGUAUUCAACUCAAUAUUUACCCCAUAAAAUUUUCCACCAUAUGGAAAUAUUCAUCUUUCACACUUUUUCGUUGAACACUUGGAAUGUUAACCGUUAUUGGUGGAUCUCGCACUUAGCACCACCGCUGAAUCGGGGAAUCAGCACUUAGCAACCCCUCGGGGGAAUCAGCACAUAGCAACCCCCUUUCACAUUUCAAAGAUAUGGUGGAUAUCGCACUUAGCACCACCAAUGAACCGGGGAAUCAGCACUUAGCAACCCCUCGGGGGAAUCAGCACAUAGCAACCCCCUUUUCACAUUUCAAAGAUAUGGUGGAUCACGCACAUAGCACCACCAAUGAAUCGGGGAAUCAGCACACAGCAACCCCUUUAUAUACAACAUACUCCGGCUUAUUCCGAGUGUUCAACCCAUAAACCAUAUAUUGCAACCCUUUACCACCUUUCCCGAUUUAACAACAUUUUUAGGAUAUGGCCAAACAUUUAUUUUAAUUCCAAAUAAAUCUCAACAUAUAUCAAAUAAUAUCAAAAUAAUACAUUAAGUCACAUGUUUACUUACCUCGGUGCAAAAUAUCGUAAUUUUGCACUUUACUCCCCUAUCUUUUCUUUUCCCCGUUUGAUAUACUCUUCACGUCUUUCUUGAUCUAUAAUAGCAAAUUUAACUCGUUUAAUAUUCACAUUUAUUAAAAUAAUCCACCACCCAACUUUUUGAAAAUUACAAUUUUGCCCCAAAACUUUUGCAUAAUUACACUUUUGUCCCCAAGCUCGGAAAUUAAACUUCAUCACUUAUUCUUAAGUUUUAUAACAUGCUGAACAUUUUUCCCUUCUAUGGAAACAUCAAAUUCCCACUCCAACACAUACUUUUGAAUAUUAAUUAUUUUUACCGAUUAUGUCUAUUUACCCGUUUUCGCUUAAAAUUGCUUAGCAAAAGUUGUUUAACAUAAUCUCUAGCUUCAUAUUCCACCAUAAAACAACAAAAUAAACACAUUUCACCUAUGGAUAUUUUUCCAAAUAUGAACCCUAACAUGAAUUAAUGGUAGAAUAAGCUAAACCAAGUUACCGGGACUCCAAAAAUACGAAGAACAUUAAAAACGGGGCUUAGAAUCACUUACUAUGGAGCUUGAAAGCUUAAAAACCCUAAAUAUGGCUUCCCCCUUGCUGAUUUCGUUCACCAUGAAGAAGAUGAGCAUAUUUUGCCAUCUUUUUCCCAUUUAAUUCUAUUUAAUAACCAAAUGACUAAAAUGCCCCCAUUUAAAAAAAAUCUAUUUCACCCAUUUCUUAUGUCUAUUUUUGUCCAUCAACUAACUAAUGGUCUAAUUACCACAUAAAGACCUCCAAUUUAAAAUUUCAUAACAAUUAGACACCUCUAAGAUGUAGAACUCAACUUUUGCACUAUUUACAAUUUAGUCCUUUUGACUAAAUUGAGUGCCCAAACGUCGAAAUUUUCGAACGAAAUUUUUACGAAAAUUUUCCGUGAAAUUGUAGAUCAUAAAAAUAUAAUAAUAACCAUAUUUUCCCUCGUCGGAUUUGUGGUCCCGAAACCACUAUUCCGACUAGGCCCAGAAUCGGGCUGUUACAAAGAACCAUUUUGAGAUUCGGGUCAACAAUCCAUUAUUGUUGGUUCAUUCUCGGUCUUAGCCAAUUAAUUCGUUAUUGUUUCUUAUCUAUUUUGUCUACCGCCUUUGUUUGAAGCCAUUAUCUCUAUUUUGUUUACUUUAAAUUGAAACGGAUCUAUCCUUCUCAAUUCACGAUCGAGCAACUCAAAUACGACUCGACUCAACACCGAGGCAGUUCGUAUCACUUUAGCUCAAUGAACUAAUAACUUGACUCUGAUACUCGGGUAACUAUACCACACUAGGGGCAUUAUAGAUGCAUAACAGGGGCAUCAAAGUGCAAUCAAGAGCACGAAUGUGCAAUCAGGGGCACCAAAGUGCAAUCAGGGGAACAAAUGUGCAUUUAGGGGUAUCGAAGUACAAACAGGGGCACAAAUGUGCAUUCAGGGGUUCUGAAGUACAAACAGGGGCACUUCUUCAUUUCUGAAUACAUACUUAAAUUCAUCUAAUUCACAUAUAACUUUAAUACAAUUCCAAGAAAAAGACUACUAAUAAUCUAUUCUCAAUAUCAUAUAUACAUAAGUAUUUGCAACACUCAUUAUUAUAAAAUAACCGAAGUAAUUUCACAUAUAUAUAAAUCAAUUAACUAGAGAACAACAAUAAUAAUCACAAGUGAAUUACAUUAAAUAAUAAAUCAAUAUGAACUUACCUGGCUAAAUUGUAGCAAUGACUAAUUAUAGGGGUUAUUUGGUAAUUUUCUCUUUUCCUUUAUUUUCAUCUCAUUUUCAAUCUAAAAUAAUAAUUCCAUUCAAUUCAUUAAUUCAAAUAGCAAAACCAAUUAAUUUUAUGCAAUUUAGUUCUUUUUGAAAUUUUUACAAAAUUACCCUUACUUUUCAUUUUUAUUCAAUUUAGUCCCUAUGUCCUAAUCAUGCAAAUAAACCAAUUUUAUUAAAAAUUCAUACCAGUCAAAUAUUAAUAGCAUCCAUCAUAGCCCACAUUGGUAACAAUUUCACACUAAGUCCUUGUAUUUUACUAUUUCAACAAUUUAAUCCCUAAUCGUUAAAUUCACCAAAAUCAUUUAACAAAAUACUUAUAACAACUAAUACCUCAAAUUCAUCAAUGGAAACAUUCAAAAUCUUUAACAAUUUCAGAAAUAAAGGUACGAGCUAGUUGGACCUAGUUGCAAUGAUCUCAAAAUUAUAAAAAUUACAAGAAAUUGAGUAACAAAUCAUACCAUGCAAGGAUAAAAAAGGACGACCGAAGCUCCCAACUUGUUUAUCCAUGGUUUUCGAUGAAGAACAUAAUAGGUGAAGAAGAUUACAUUGAAUUAUGUUUCUUUUAUUAUUAUUAACUUUAUUAAAUUAACAUAUUUUAACAAAUAAAUAUAAUUUAAUACAUAUUUACUUAGAAAAUCACCCAUGUGCCGUCCACCAUAAUUUAAUUAUGAUUUAUUUACAACAUAAACCCCUCAAUCAUAACUAAUUAGACCAUUAAACUAAGAAAAUUAAUAGCAAGCAACUUUUAUAACUUUUACAGUUUAAUCCUUUUUCUUUAAUUAACCAUUUAAACGUCAAAAUUUCUUAACGAAACUUUAAUACGACCUUAAUAACACACCAUAAAUAUUUAAUAAAAUAUUUACAAGCUCGGUUUAUAGAAAUGAGGUCUUGAUACCUCAUUUUCUAAAGCCACUUUGCUCUAAGGUCUUACCACUUGAACUUAAUUAUUCAUUCAAAUAACAUAAUUUUCCUAUUCAAAAUUUAUUUUAAUACAAUAAUUGACUCGUAGAUAUUAAAUAAUAAUAUUUAUGGGCUCACUUGUCGAAUUUGUGGCCACGAAACCACUAUUUUCGACACCACUGAAAAAUAGGUUGUUAGAAUAAUGGCAUGUAUAGGUGGACUAAUGUUAAUGUCCUAGUUGUUAUGUUUGGCUUGUAAAUAUGGUAAAUUAGUUGGUGUGUUUUUGGCACUUUGAUGCUAUACUGGUUGAAGUUUAUAUGGUCAAAUUGAUGUAUGGUUUUGUGACCAAAGUGGUAAGUGUUGGCAUGUUUGAAAUGUGGCUAAUUAGGUUAUGUUUGAUAUGGAAUUUAGCUGAGUUUGUUUUGGUAUGGCAAUAAGUAGUUGUGUAUGCUUGAAUUAUGGAUAAAUAUGCUUUUGCUAAGACAUGCUCAGUGGUUAUGAUUGAGGUGCCUUCUGGCAUGUUGGUUGUAUGGAUAUUUGGUACAGAGGUUUGGUCAUUUUAUGCAUGCCUUGGACAUGAUUUAGGGUCUUAGUUAUAUGUACAAAUGUGUUAUAGGUUCAUGCUUAAAUUGGGUGAAAGAAAUGGCUUGAUUUUGGCCUAUUUCUUGUCCACAAGGCCACAAACACUGGCAUCUGUCUUAGCCAUGUGUCCCCUGUAGAUUUCAAAGGGUUACAAGUUAGAUAGUUACACAACCUGGCACACGGGCGUGUGGCUUGGCCGUGUGACCCAAGUCAGAGAGUUACACGGGCAUGGGCACGAGCUAGGACACAGCCGUGAGUCCCUAUUUCGAAUGUUACAUAGCCUGAGACAAGGGAGUGUGUCUCAGCCGUGUGAGGCACACGACCGUGUUAACAUGACUUAUUCUAACUUUUUCUUUAAGGUUUCAUAUGUUCCCGAUUUAGUCUCGAAUAGUUUUUAAAGUAUUUCUAAGGCCUCGAAGGAUCGAAUAAGGGACGAUAUGCAUGUGUUUCCAUGAAUUAUGCUACGAUUUAUCUAAUGUUUGAGAAUUAUUGUUUUAAGUUAUGAUUUUUUGGAAAUGCUCCCUAACCCUAUUUCAGCGAUGGAUACGGGUUAGUGGUGUUACAGAUACUCUGCUAAGGGCAGAUAUUGUUCCCAACUACCACUAAACUCGAUCACACAGCUUCGCAACAUAUCUUCUACAACUUGUAUUACCCUUUUAGACUGACCAUCUGUUUGAGGAUGAUAAGCCGUACUAAGAUUAAGCUUCGAUCCCAAAGUUUCUUGCAAACUCUUCCAAAACCUUGAAGUAAACUUAAGAUCCAUGAAGAUGAACAAUCUCAGCAAUAUACAACUCUGCCAACUUCUGCAACAAAUAAUUGGUUCGCACCACUAAGAAAUGCGCACUCUUCGAAAACCAAUCAACUAUAACCCAUGCUGAAUCUUUCCUCGAAGGAGUCAAUGGCAAACGAAAAACAAAAUCCAUAGUAAUACUUUCCCACUUCCUUUCAGGAAUCGCAAUAGGUUGCAAUAACCCAAAAGGAAAUUGAUGUUUAACUUUCACCUUUUGAUAAACCAAACAUUGAGCCACAAAAUCCGUAACAUCACGCUUCAACCCAUGCCACCAAUAAAUCUCACGAAGAUCAUAAUACAUUUUAUGACUACUGAGAUGCAUAGUGUAAGGUCUACUAUGUGCCUCAGUAAGGAUCACUUGUCUUAAAUCCACAUAUUGCGGCACACACAACCUACCUCAGAAAUUCAAGAUAUCAUCACUGUCAACAUCAAAAUCUCCCUUAAUACCUUGUUCAACCUAUCGAAUCCUCUUCAUUAAUUCCCCAUCCAAAGGCUGUUUCUCCUUAAUUUUUUGUGACAAAGUCAGCCUCACUUGCAGUUUAGCUAGCAAUCCACCAUUCCUACCCACACUUAAACGUGUAAAUAUAACUCUCAACGCCGCCAUCAACUUUCUACUUAAAGCAUCAGCAACAACAUUCGCCUUGCCAGGAUGAUACUAUAUACAAAUAGAUGUUUUGAUAUUUGCUCGGUAUAUGAUAUGUACUGAUAAAUGUUUAAAAAUGUUUUAAGUAUUUGGAUGAUAUAAAAUUUUGAUUAGUUAAAUGGUAAUGAAAGGGUUGAAAUUCGAAACAUUAUUUGAAAAUGUAAUUUAAUUAGUAAAGCAUGAUUGAUAUUUGGUGUGGAUUGUUAAUGACCUAUGUUUUGACAAAUAAAUUGUUUUGAUCAUUAGGUGAGAUAAAUUAGGGUUUAAAUAUAUAUAUUUACAUACACAUGACGCAUAUUUAUAUACAGCUAUGGUAUUUGGUUCAUUUUGUUAAGUAUGAGAUUUUGAUAUUUAGUAAUGCUUCGUAACCCUAACAGAUACGGGUUAGGGGUGUUACAUUUGAUUGGUAUUAGAGCUACAGUUUAGUCGAUUCUAGGACUACUGUAGCGUGUGAGUCUAGCUAUACAUGCCAUAUAUAUAAACUGCGAUGGUGUGAUGAUUCCUGACAAUUAAAAUGUGUUUUUUCUAUAGUAAAUGGAUCCCGAUCGAGUUGUAGUUGACGAUGUUGAAAGUAAUGCACCCACUCAAGGGGUAGUACCAGCUGAUUCUAGAGUUGUUGUUAGUAGCCAAGAGGGAGAGGCAAAGAAAGCCUUCUUCUAGAUGAUGAAUGAGUGGUUUUCAGAGUUCGUUCGAAUGAAUCCGGCUGCUCAACAAUCUCCACCCCCGCUUAAUCCUCCCCAAAUACUUGUGAUACCUCAAGCUACUGAUCCGAUGCGAUUAAGUAAGCCUCUGGUUGAUAAAAUUAGAAAAUAUGGGGUCGAAGAGUUUAGAGCUACUAUUGAUGAUGAUGCCGAGCGAGCUGAAUUCUGGCUUGAUAAUACGAUUCGGGUGUUUGAUGAUUUAUCUUGUACUCUUGAUGAAUGUAUUAAAUGUGUUGUAUCUUCGUUAAGGGACGCUUUAUAUCACUGGUGGAAUACGCUAGUAUCAGUGGUUCCAAAAGAAUGAGUUACUUGGGAGUUCUUUCAGACUGAAUUCUGGAAGAAAUAUAUCAGCUAGAGAUUUAUAGAUAAAAAACGCAAAGAAUUCCUUGAGUUAAAAUAGGGUCACAUGACAGUGACAGAAUAUGAGCGGGAAUUUGUGAGACUCAGUAGAUAUGCCCGAGAAUGUGUUUUGACUGAAGCUAUAAUGUGUAAAAGAUUUGAAGACGGUUUGAAUGAAGACAUUAAGCUGUUAGUCAGAGUUUUGGAAAUAAAAGAGUUUGUGGUACUUGUCGAGCGAGUGUGCAAAGCUGAAGAGCUUGAGAAAGAGAAAAAAACCUGACUUUGAAGCUAGAGAUUCGCGAAAAGGAUCAUCAAGUAUGUAACACCCCGAACCCGAAACCGACACCGGAGUCGAACACGAGGUGUUAACUGACUUUAACCCCUUAUAAAAUUUAUUUUCCAGACACUGCCCAAUCUGUGUACUAGUCGUUUUAAAAAUCAUAUCUUGAGUUUCGUAACUCAAAAAUCAGUUUCGUAAUUUUUCCCAGAAACUAGACUCAUGUGCCCAUCUAUGUAUUUUUUUCUAGAAUUUUUGGUCGUGCCAAUUAGUACAGUUUAUUAGUCAAAGUCUCACAUGUUGCAGGGGUCGACUACACUGACCUUUGCCCAUUACGACUUGGAUAUCUCCCUGCACGGGUCUUCAAUACUGAUACCGUUUGUUUCUAUGAAAACUAGACUCAGAGAGGAAUCUAUACAUAUAUGGUACGACCCCUAAUUAUCUCUGGUUAAUUUAUAAUGAAUUUCCAAAUUCGGAGCAGGGAAUCCAGAAACCGUUCUGGCCCUGUCCCACAAAAAUCUGAUUAUCUCUUAAUAUACUGCCCAUAUGAUCUUUUAGUUACUUCCUCAUGAAAACAGACUCAUCGAGCUUCGAUUACAUAAUUUAUUCAUCAAUUAAUUCCACUCCUACUAUUUUUAGUGAUUUUUCAAUCUCAUGACACUGCUGCUGCCAGCAUCUGUUACGAAAGUAACUAGGUACAUUUCAUGCCUACCCUUGAUCCAACUCAAUCGAACAUUCGUGCCAUUUUCGCAUGGCUUAAAGUUUACAUGCCAAAGUUCAAACACAACGUAAUAGCUUAUACAUGCCAAAAUGUUCUUCUAAGCCAACUAAGAAGAAAGUACCAAAACUUGCUAUCCGGUGUGAUGACUUCGAUGACGGCCUGACCCCGCAAAAAUAGAUGAGUCCAAGCAACCUAUAAUGGGUGACAAGGAAACACCGAGUGAGUUUAUAACUCAGUAAGUCAUAAGCUAUGCACUACCAUCCAUCAAUAACAUUAUCACAAGAGAAAACAAAAUGGAACGAGGCUAAUUACUCCAUCCAUUCCGAACCAUACCAUAGUUCCUCCAACCUAUCGAUUCAAUUUCAUAUCAAUUCAUGCAUUCACAUUCCAUAUACUCAUCAAUAGGACAUUGAAGCAUUUUCAUAAAUCAAUUUAUUUUCGUUACAAUCAAACGACUAAACGGCCUUUCACCCAUUCUACGAUAAAUUUUAUGUACGUGACUUCAAGUAUGGUUGUCACAUAGGUUCAAACUUACCGAGCUCAACACCAAGUAUAAGCAUAGCACCUAUUAGCCAUGUACUCAAGACACUUACCCGAUCCGCUGUCCGCGAUCGACUCAAUAGUGUCGCACACAUAGUGUCCAUAAUGAUUCACGAAUGCAUAUUGAGUCCACACACUCAGUGCUAUAUAAUCAACUCGCACACUUAGUGCUACGUAAUCAAAUCGCACACUUAGUGCUACAUAGUCAAACUCGCACACUUAGUGCCGCAUGGUCAAUUCGCACACUUAGUGCAUCAUAUUCAUUUCGCACACUUAGUGCAACAUAGUCAAAUCGCACACUUAGUGCUGUACAAUUUAAUCCCGCGCACUUAGCGCCAAUCUCAUGGUCAUAAAUGGUUAUACCCGCACGUUUAGUGCCGAGAUCAACAACUCAGUACAUCUUACCUCUUUUCUUUUCAUUCAACAAUUUCAUCAUCACAUACGUACAUGCAUAUAUAUAUAUAUGUAUAUUUAUUCAUUCCAUUCAGCAUCAAUACAUAAACAUUAUGACCAUUUGAAAUAAUACCAACUACAUGCUUAAUGACUUACCUUGUGUUGGGUAAGACGGUUCCAACUCGACUACUCAGUGAUCUUUUCUUUGCCUUUAUCGGAUCUAGUUCCCUUUUGCUCUUGAGCUUAAGUUCAACAAAAUUUAAAAUAGUCAUUAAUCGACUAUUCAAGUAUUACUUUCAGAAUAAUAUAUAUAUUGAUUUGACCUUCACACACAUAGAUUAUAGUAAGCUUUAUAAUAGUCAAUAAAUAACUCAUUGGCAAAUUUUCAUUAAUGUUUACAACAAAAUCACAUAUUCACUACGAGCUGUUUUCCUGAGCAGUAGUCGCUAAAUUGUUUAUAACUGGAGCUACAAAACUCCAAAUCACUAGCCGUUAAUUUUCCCUGAAUAUAGACUCGUAUAUCUUCCAUCCAUAAAAUUUUCAGAAUUUUUGGCUUGGCCAAUCAAUACCAGAUUUUUCUUAAAGUUUCCCCUGUUUCACUGUUUGACUAUUCUGACCACUCUUCACUACGAAUCAAAUUUCUCAUUUUACAGAAUUCAAAAUGUGUUGUAUUUGAUCUCAUUUGAAACUAGACUCAUUAAGGAGUCUAAGCAUAUAAAUUUUAUCUUAUAAUCAUUUUUGUACAAUUUAUAAUGAUUUCCUAAAAACAGAACAGGGAAUCUAGUAGUCAUUUUGACUCAGCCCCACAAUACUUCAAAUAUCUCAAGAUCGGUAACUCUUUUGUUUUUAUAGUUUCUUUUGUAAGAAAAUAGACUCUUCAAGAUUUAAUGGCAUAAUUCACUCAGCUUCUAAUUCAACUCCUACAAAUUAUGGCGAUUUUCCAAAAUCACCUUACUGCUGCUGUCCCCAAACAGAUUAUUACCAAAUCAAAUACUAACAUUAGCAUUUCACCUUAAUAGCUAGCUUACCAAGCCUUAAUUUAACAUAUUAAUCUUUAACAUAUCUUUCACUUUUCAUCAACAACUAUCAAAAAGCUCAAGCACUCAUCAAUGGCAAAACACAAAAUCAUCAUCAAUCCACAAAAUUGAACCAUGGGUUUUUAGAACUCAAGUCAACUACUAAAACAUGCAUGCAUCUCAAGAACAACAUCAAACAUACCUUAGUCUAGCAAACCACCAUAGCCGAUUUUCUCAAGCUCUUCCCCUUCCUUUCUUUCCUCUAUUCGGCCAAAGGUGUUCAAGAAUGAACACAUUUUUUUUUUUGUUUUCUUUCCUCAACUCACGGCAACAAGGGGGGGGGUAUGGAUGAGACCAUUUUUUUUUUCAUCACCCUUCCUUUUCAUUGUUUAAUUACCAUGCUCUUUAUUUUAUUUUUCUUAGCAUACAUCACUAGCAUAACAUGUUGGUGACAUGUUUCCACCCAUAGCAUGGCCAGCCACUAUGCUUUAAUUUGGCUAAUUUGACAUGCAAGGACAAACACUUUCCCACAUAUAUUAAUGGGCCACUUGAACACUUGCCUAGCAUAUUUCUAAAUUGUCUCACAUAAGUCCCUACUAAUAAAUUCCACAUACACUGACCAAAUUAAAGUAUGGAACUAUCACACAAGCAUUUACGCACAUCAUAAACACAGAAUAUAAUCUUUAAUUAUUUAUAAGACUCGGUUUUGUGGUCCCGAAACCACUUCCCGACUAGGGUCAAUUUUGGGCUGUCACAACUCUCCCCCACUUAAGAAAUUUUCGUCCCCGAAAAUCUUACCGGUAAAUAGGUUUGGAUAUCGUUCUUUCAUCGAGCUCUCGGUUUCCCAAGUAGCUUCCUCGAUCCCGUGUUUGAGCCAUAACACCUUUACUAGCGGAACUCUUUUGUUUCGUAACUCCUUCACUUCACGAGCUAGGAUACGCAUCGGUUCUUCUUCAUAACUCAUAUCGGCUUGAAUUUCAACCUCUGAUGGGCUAAUUAUGUGCGAUGGAUCAGAUCUAUAGCGUCGAAGCAUCGAAACAUGAAAGACGUCAUGGAUCUUUUCAAGCUCAGGGGGCAAAAUCAAUCUAUACGCAACUGGCCCCACUCGUUCGGAGAUUUCGUACGGCCCAAUGAAUCUCGGGCUCAACUUGCCCUUACGGCCAAACCUAAGUACCUUUUUCCAAGGCGAAACUUUAAGAAACACUUUAUCUCCCACCUGAUAUUCAAUGUCUUUUCGUUUCAAAUCCGCAUACGAUUUCUGACGAUCUGUGGCUGCUUUCAGACUUUCACGGAUUACCUUUACUUUCUGUUCGGCAUCUUUAAUCAAAUCAACUCCGAAAAUUUUACUUUCACCGAGCUCGGUCCAAAACAAUGGUGUACGGCAUUUACGACCGUACAAAGCCUCGUAAGGUGCCAUCUUAAUACUUGAUUGAAAACUAUUGUUGUAAGCGAAUUCAAUCAAAGGUACAUACCGUUCCCAUGAACCACUAAACUCAAGGAUGCAGCAUCUCAGCAUAUCCUCGAGUAUCUGAAUUAUCCGCUCGGAUUGACCAUCGGUUUGGGGAUGAAAAGCGGUGCUAAAAUGCAGCUUGGUACCCAAAGCUUCUUGCAAUUUCUUCCAAAAUCGCGAGGUGAAUCUCGGAUCUCUAUCCGACACGAUAGAAAUAGGUACUCCAUGUAACCUCACAAUCUGAGAAACAUACAAUUCGGCUAGUUUAUCCAAUGAAAAAUCCGUACGCACGGGGAUAAAGUGAGCCGACUUAGUCAGCCUAUCAACAACAAUCCAAAUCGCAUCCUUCUUACUUGCGGACAAUGGCAGUCCGGACACAAAGUCCAUUGUGACUCGGUCCCAUUUCCACUCGGGUAUCAUGAUCGGCUGAAGUAACCCUGAAGGCACUUGAUGUUCCGCUUUCACUUGUUGACAUAUUAAACAUCUCGAAACAAAGUCGGAGAUGUCUCGUUUCAUACCAUGCCACCAAAACCGACGUUUCAAGUCGUUGUACAUUUUCGUGCUCCCCGGGUGAAUUGACAUUCGGCUACAAUGGGCUUCGUUCAGAAUCAUCGGAAUGAGUUCCGAAUUCCUUGGAACACACAAAUGACUUCUAAACCUCAAACAACCAUCAUCAUCAAUCUGAAACUCCGAUUCCUUGUUCGGAACACACUCAGCUCGUUUUGCAACCAAUUCAUCAUCGACUUCCUGAGCUUCAAGAAUUUGAUGAGUCAAUAAUGGUUUGGCUUUUAAUUCAGCUACUAACACAUUGUCAGAUAGAACAGACAAGUGUACAUUCAUCGCUCGCAAAGCAAACAGUGAUUUUCGGCUUAAGGCGUCCGCAACCACAUUAGCCUUUCCCGGGUGGUAAUCAAUGACAAGCUCGUAAUCUUUCAACAACUCAAGCCAACGUCUUUGUCGCAGAUUCAAGUCUCGUUGAGUCAUCAAAUAUUUGAGACUUUUGUGAUCCGAAAACACAUGGCACUUCUCACCAAACAAAUAAUGUCGCCAUAUUUUCAAUGCAAACACAAUGGCGGCUAGUUCGAGAUCAUGGGUCGGAUAAUUUCUCUCGUGUGGCUUUAAUUGUCUUGACGCAUAGGCCACAACUCGACCUUCUUGCAUCANNNNNNNNNNNNNNNNNNNNNNNNNNNNNNNNNNNNNNNNNNNNNNNNNNNNNNNNNNNNNNNNNNNNNNNNNNNNNNNNNNNNNNNNNNNNNNNNNNNNNNNNNNNNNNNNNNNNNNNNNNNNNNNNNNNNNNNNNNNNNNNNNNNNNNNNNNNNNNNNNNNNNNNNNNNNNNNNNNNNNNNNNNNNNNNNNNNNNNNNNNNNNNNNNNNNNNNNNNNNNNNNNNNNNNNNNNNNNNNNNNNNNNNNNNNNNNNNNNNNNNNNNNNNNNNNNNNNNNNNNNNNNNNNNNNNNNNNNNNNNNNNNNNNNNNNNNNNNNNNNNNNNNNNNNNNNNNNNNNNNNNNNNNNNNNNNNNNNNNNNNNNNNNNNNNNNNNNNNNNNNNNNNNNNNNNNNNNNNNNNNNNNNNNNNNNNNNNNNNNNNNNNNNNNNNNNNNNNNNNNNNNNNNNNNNNNNNNNNNNNNNNNNNNNNNNNNNNNNNNNNNNNNNNNNNNNNNNNNNNACAAUCCGAGCGAAUUAUUCAAAUACUCGAGGAUAUGUUACGAUGUUGCAUUCUUAAGUUUGAAGGUACAUGGGAAAAUUAUUUGUCGUUGAUUGAAUUUGCGUAUAAUAGCAACUUCUAAUCGAGUAUUAAAAUGGAACGUUAUGAAGCUUUAUACAGUCGCAAGUGCCGAACACCUUUGUAUUGGAUUGAACUUAGUGAGAAUAAGAUUCACGAGGUCGAUUUGAUUAAAGAGACUAAAUAAAAAGUGAAAAUGAUCCGUGAUAGUCUUAAGGCAGCGUCAGAUCGUUAGAAAUCGUACUUGACUUGAAACGAAAAGAUAUUGAGUUUCAGAUUGGGGAUCGAGUGUUUUUGAAAGUAUCUUUGUGGAAAAGAAAUACUUAGAUUUGGAAAAAAUAGCAAGUUAAGUCCAAGAUUCAUCGGGCCGUAUGAAAUUAUUGAGCGUAUCAGACCGGUUGCUUAUAGAUUGUUGUUGCCACCUAAAUUAGAAAAGAAUCAUAAUGUAUUUCAUGUAUCGAUGCUUCGAUGAUAUCGAUCUGAUCCCUCACAUGUUAUUUCCCCAUCCGAGAUUGAGAUUCAGUCUGAUAUAAAAUAUGAAGAAGAACCGAUUCGAGUUUUACAUCGCGAGGUUAAAGAACUAAGGAAUAGGAAAAUUUCUUUAGUGAAAGUCUUAUGGCAUUGACACGGGGUUGAAGAAGCUGCAUGGGAACUUGAGGAUGCUAUGAGAAUGCAAUAUCUAAACUUAUUCAUUGGUAAGAUUUUCGGAGACGAAAAUUCCUAACGGGGGAGAGUUGUAACAACCCGGUUUAAGCUAAAUCAGAACAGUGGUUUUGAAACCAUAAAUUCGAAGUUGUGAAAUUAUUUUAAUAUUAUUUUUGGUAUUUAUAGCAUGUUAUUUGAUAUGUGUAAAAAUUUUGUGAUUUAGUUUUACUGAUUGGUUAGUUAAUUUGAUAAAAGGACUAUUUACCAUCCCGUUGAACCACUUGGAUACUAAGGAUACUCGGGUCUCCUCUCUAAUAAUAACAUGCCAAAGCCAUGUCCUAGACAUUGUCUUACAUGGGAUGUUUCCUGUACUGCAAAUGUCAUAUCCCAGAUUUGGUCUUACAUGAGAGUUCUCAUAUCGGUGCCCAUGGCAUGUCCCAGACAUGGUCUUACGGGGGACCUCUCAUCAUGGUGCCAACUCCAUGUCCCAGACAUGGUCUUACAUGGGAUCUCAUUCCCUUAAUGUCAUGACAUUUGUAUCUGAUACAUUUCUAAUGUUUCAAUGAGAUUUUUUUAACACUGAUUCUCUAUCAUUUCAUACUUGAGUUAACAUUAAAUAAUCUCAUGAAAUAAUUACAUAAUCGUUGGAAAAUAACAACAUUAAUAAUAAUUAUUGAAAUAUUGCAUUUAUUUACUGUAAACUUACUUCGGUACAAAAUACGAUUAAAUCUAGCAACUUAGUCCUCAACCUUUUGCUUUCCCUAUUCUAACUCCGGAUUUUGUUCCUCUUGAUCUAUAAUAGCAAAUUUAGCUUAUUUAAUACUCACAUUCAUCAAAACAAUCCUUGACUCAAACUUUGGAAAAAUCACAAUUUGCCCCUAAACUUUUGCAUAUUUACACUUUUGCCCCAAAGCUUAAAAAUUAAACUUCAUCCGUUAUCCUUAUGUUUUAUGACAUGCUGAACAUCUUUCCCUUUUAUGGCAUCAUCAAAUUCCCAUUCUAACAUAUACUUAUGAACAUUAGGUAUUUUUACUAAGUAUGUCGUUUUACUUGUUUUCACUUAAAAUCCCCUAACAAAAGUUGUUUAACAUAAUUUCAAGCUUCAUAUUUUACCAUAAAACAUCAAAAUAAACACAUUUCACCUAUGCGUAUUUUUCCAAAUAUGAAUCCUAACAUGAAUUAAUGAUAGAAUAAGCUAAAUUGAGCUACGAGGACUCCAAAAACGUAAAAAAAAAUUAAAAACGGGGCUUGGAUAUUUUGCCAUUUUUUCCCUUUUAAUUCUUUUUAUUACCAAAUGACUAAAAUGCCCUUCAUUAAAACUUUAGUUAUUUUUAUCUAUGCAUGCCCAUUAUUGUCCAUGAAAAUCUAAUGGUCUAAUUACCAUUUCAGGACCUCUACUUCAAUUAUGCACUUCAAUUAAAUCAUUUAUCAUCUAAAGCUCAUUGUUACCCACUUUUGCAAUUAAACCCUGAUAUGCAAUUUAGACAUGCAAUCGCUGAAAUUUCUUAUCGGUAUUCUAACACAUGCAUCCAAUCAAUCAGUGAAUCAUAAAAAUUAAUCACAAUAAACUUUUCUAUCUCAAAUUCAUGGUUUCGCAACACUGUUUCAUUUAGGCCCUAUUUCGGGAUAUUACAAAAGUGGUUUAAGGUUAAAUAAUUGUAGGUAUUGACUUCUCUCCAUUUUUAAAUUACUUACAGAGAUAUUAAGGGCAUAGCUCUUUGGAAGAUCUAACUAAUUCAAUAAGCUCACAAAGACAUCAUGAUAUUGAUCAAAUGUAUCUUGUUGUUUAAGUGAAAUGAGCUCUGUCAUUAGAUCCAAAAACAAACUUGAGCUAAACAAUUCUUGUAAGCCUCUAGCAUAAGUGUCCCAUGUAAGCCCAUGUAGUCUCCCAUGCCUUUGAGCAAAAAUAUGGUGCCCUAGGUGGAGCAUCAAAUUCACACCUUGGUCUGAUCCAUCACUUCUUCAGCCUUGAAAUACUGCUCUAGCUUAGACCACCACCCCCUAAAGUUGGUUCUGUAAAAGCGAGGACAGUCGAGCUUGAAAUGUUUGGAAAACACUUUAUGCUGCCAACUCGUGUUGAAGCUUCCACAUAGGUCAAAUUUUCCAUCAUGGGAACCAUCAAUGGUUCCUUGGGGGGAAAUCCUAAAUGAGGAGUGCCCAAAAUUUCUUUCCCUUUUCUAAAUCUAGAUCUAGGAACUGCUACACCAGAUGGUUGGCCUAAAUAUUUUUCAAACAAGAAAUGCAACUCAUUAGUGAUUUCACCUUUGAACUCCUCACAUAGCUCCUUAAAAUGUGAAUCAAGCCUGCUGUCCAACUAGGAAAACUCAGUCUGCAACUGUGAAACUUCCAUUUGCAGCUUGCCCAUCUCCUUUUGGAGACACGUGGUGAUGUCGUCACUAGCCAUAGAGGAUCAAAAGAUUUGAUACUAUUGAUGCGUAUGAAAAUUUAAUGCACAAUCGAUAGAGAGAAAGAAGAGAAAUCAGAAAGAAUUGAGGAUUAAAUAGAAGAAACCAUAAGAAACAUGUGAAUAUCAAAUUCCAUAACCAUUUAUGUUUUCACCCAACUGCUUAAGAAGGAAGGGUUGACAAUUUUCCCUUCCAAUUGAGUUUGUUAGCCGUUAGUGCCAGUUGGUUACAAUACGCACUAUUUCAUUUAAAUGGAAUGAGACCAAAACACAUCGUUCUUGUUGCCCCCACACUUCCUAAUACGCACUAUUUAUUCUUAAUAAAGAAAACCAUUAAAACACUGUGUUUCUAAUAAAACUAAAACAGAAACAUAAACAGAAAUUCAAAGGAAUUUUCUCGUUGGUAAACAGCCCGUAUCACCUUGUUCACUAGAUCAUCAAAUCUAACCAUUCAAUUCACCUCUCUUUCAAUUUGCUUUUUUUAUUUCACUUUUCAAUUAAAAAAAAUCACUAAAUAUAAGAGUCAUCUGCUACUAAUCCCUUUCAUACAAAUCAAUACGAUUGAGUUCUUUGUCUCCUUGUUUUCUCUCUCAUAAACCCAAGAAAAAAACACAAUAAAUUCAUCAAAAUAUCAGAAAAAUACAAGAAAUCCAGAGAACAUAACAUAAGAAAAUUCAUAAAAAAAUUAAUGAACCAUUCUAAAAUAAGAGAAAAACCCAUAAAAAAAAGUCUAAUGGGAAAAUCUCUGCCAAUAAUUGAAGCAUCUCUAUCAAUGAAAAAUAAUAAAUUAUGAGUUUUUUUCUAAAAAAAUUAUGGGUUCAAAAUUUCAAAUUUGAGAUGAAAAAUGAAAUUUGAUACGAAGAAAUAGAUGAUAUUUUUUCAAUGGGUAAUGUUUUAUGAAGAAGAAAUUCAAGUUAUUUAAUAAACUUGAAAGGUUUCUUUAUUAUUAUAUUUUAUCUUUAAAAUCAAAACUACUAUAAUUAUUUUCAUAUCCUUAGUUUGACCUUUUAAUUUUUUUCCUUGACAAUAAUGUCACUUGGCAGUUUAAAAUUGGUUUAUGUCAUAUUUUAACUUGUUAGUGGGAGAUAACACAUUAUAUAGUUAGAAAUAAUAUAAUCAACAUUUUAAAAUUAGAGGUACCACAAAUAUGUGAUUAUCCCUCUUUCUUCUUCUUCUUUUUCUUAUUAUUAUUAGUCUUGAGUUGAACCAAUUUCUCCACACAAGAGUUUUUGUGACAUGGAAAUAAUAAUAAAAAUUCAUAGAAAUUGGUUUAAGCACAUUAAAUGUUUUACAUAAGUCGUAAAUGAAAUGUUAUGGCAUUUUAGGAGUGUUAGUUAUUUGACGUGCGGUGCAAGCACCGAAACAUAACGGUAGAGCAUAGUUUUCACCUUCAAAGUAGCCACCCAUUUCUCCCCGCCAUUUCUUUCAUUCCCAAAACCAAGGGCCUCCUUUCAAAUCCAAACACAUAUUCACUCCACCCUUUCGAACAAAAUUCUAUUGUUUUCUCUCAAGGGUCUAACUCUAAAGCUAUCCAAAUCUUCCCCUGCUUGUUGUCAAUCUUCAUUUUUGGUCUGCAUAUUUUCAACCACCCUAUUUAUUAUUAUUUUCUUUUGUUUUGUUUUUUGGUCCAUGAAUGUUCAUGGUCUUGUUUGAAACAAGUAUAAAAACUCAAGACCAUGAUGUUUUAAAAGACAUUUUACCUUUGACAAUGCCAUGGUUCAUUCACAGAAUUCAAUUAUAGUUAGUUGUUUUAUGUUUUGUAUUAUAGGAUUUGUGAUUUGUAGAGCUUCGCCUGUUGAUCAAUAUGAGAGGAGUUAUUAGAUCCCAUUUUUUGCAUUUUCUUCUUCUUUUUUUAAGUUCCUUUCCUUCUUCAAGGUCUUUGGAUGGGGAUGAUUACAGUGAAACACAAAACCCUGCCGUCCUCCCUGGUGUAACGGACCUCAUCCACAAACGGCUUUCGAAUCUUACUACAUUGCUAAUCAAAGAUAUUGGUAGUGAUUUGGGCUUCUGCAUAAAGAAUGCGUAUGUAUUUCGCAAAUUUUCUUCUGUUUUGUCUCUGUAUCAUGCAUGUCACCGUUCUACUUUACCCCAUAAAACACCUUUUAUAAUAUAUAUAUAUAUGAAUUAGUGCAUCUCCUCUUUCUUCUCAGGCAAGAGGAUUUGGAUGGAGCAUUUAAUUUUUCAAAAAAUAUGGAUUUUGUGACUAAUUGUAUCAAGAAAACAAAAGGUAUGAAAAGCUUUAGCCUAUUGAAAUGCUAUAUUUACUUGAACUUGUUGACAUUAUGAUGAUCCAGAUGUCUGAUUUUAUGUCUGCUAAAAAUCUUGUAAAAAUUACCAUGAUUCAAGUAUCUUUUUCAACUCCAUGCGUUUUGCAGGCAUAAAAAAGGUAAAAAAUUGGCCAUAAACUAAUUAGGCUGAUAGAUAUAGUUACCAUGACUCAAGUUUUCUGUUGGAGUUACUUUUCCAUCUUUGCAAUGUAUUGUCAUAUCCUUCACCUAUGGAGCUUACGAUGAAUUAAAAUUUAACAGGAGAUGUCACCCUGAGACUAUGUACAGCAGCAGAGAUAAAAUUUUAUUUCGAUAGUUUAUUUUCAAAGGGGGCCAAAACUGGUUACGUAAAAGUUAACAAGAACUGCAAUUUGAAAUCUUGGGUCUCUGGAUGUGAGCCAGGAUGGGGUUGUUUUGCUGACGGGGGGCAACAGAUUGAUCUAAAAAAUACCAGUUACAUGCCUUCCAGGAGUCAAGAUUGUCAACCUUGUUGUGAAGGAUUCUUUUGCCCUAGGGGUCUUGCUUGCAUGAUACGUAAGUACUUGACACAACUGUGUGAUAACAAUUUCAAAACAGAAUGGUAUUUUGUGACGAAGCGAAUAAUGACCUAUGAAAAUUUCAGAAAACUGGAAUUAUUUGUUGAUAGAAGUGGAACUGAAUGAAGAACAUUCAUUGUCUUUUUCAUGUUCAUGCAAAAUGAAGCAUGCCCUUUAGGUUCUUAUUGUCCGCUUGCAACGCUGAAUAAAACAACCGGAGUUUGUGACCCGUAAGUUCGUAUUUCUUUUCUUCUGCUCUCACAUCGUGUACUGUAGGCAUUAAAUUGGUUAAGAAAAUUUGCAGGUAUAAUUACCAAAUUCCUCCUGGAAAGCCAAAUCACAGUUGCGGCACUGCAGAUAUUUGGGCUGAUGUUGGAAGUAGUAGUGAGAUAUUCUGUUCAGCAGGAUCAUACUGCCCUAAUACCCUUAAUAAAAUUACUUGCAGUAAGGGGUAUAUUUUUAUCCCUGAACUCAUAGCAUCAAUAAAGUUAUUUGUUUGCAGAACCUGCAUUCUGUAUCAAGAUAACAUACAUAAUUUGAUGAUAUUCUGAAAAUACUCUAUUCUUGGAGUUUAUGUUUGCUGAUAAGUUCUUUUGAUUCAAAUUUAGGCAUUACUGCAGAAAGGGUUCCACUUCCCAAAUUUGUAAGUUCUUUUUUCUCUUUUCAUCCGAUAGACUUCCUGGAAUUUGCUUUGAAACCCAAUUUGUUCACCUUUUUUUUCUUUUUUUUGCAAAACUCACAAUUAGAGCUAGAGAACAUGAAAGGGUUAACAAUGAAUUUUAUCUACUUGAUGAAUUCACCAAAUUUAUAAUCAAUAGGCUAGAUGAACCAGUUUGAUCAGUUUGUGUAUUACAUCCAAUGUGUGCAAAAAGUAUCCAUGCAACCUACGUGAAAAUAUCGAAAGUUGUUUGUGUAUACAUUCAUUGAGUGAAAGUGCCUCAAAAGUAUAUCGUUUGAAUCACCUGAGGAAGAUUUGAAGAGCCCCAGAAUUUAUUUGCAACUCCAUAGCAUUUUAUUUUACCAACCUUCCUUGUUCCUGGCCUCUGGGUUUCUAACUUAUCAUUGAUGCAUACAGCAAAGUUUGGUCAAUGCUUUUAGUUCAUUCAAAAAUAAUGGAAAUCCAUUUUCAUGAGAUUUUUAUGUGAAUACUUUGCAGCUUGCUUCAAAUUAACUACUUGCAAUCCAAAUACUUCAAACCAAAAUAUUCACGGUUAUGGAGUCAUGCUCUUUGUAAGUGGUUUCUAACUACUCAUUGAUUGCUGUUCUUAAGCUGGUUAUGUAUCUUAUUAAUGGUGAUAUAUAGGGUUGUUAAUCAGCCAUGCCUGUCAUAAUUCUUUGAAGAAUUCCUCAUGAAGCUAAUCUCCAUGAAGGAUUUCUUUUGCAUGCUCAUGCAGAAUUAGAUUGUGUUUCCUUUUUCUCUGGAAUCUGAUCUGUUUUAGCUUUGUUGUUGCUCCGAAUUCAACGAGUUGACUUUUUUACUUUCUCUUGCAUAAGUAGGUUGGACUGAGUCUCCUGCUGCUCAUUAUUUAUAAUUUCUCUGAUCAAGUUAUUAGUACUAAAGAAAGAAGACAGGCUAAAUCCCGAGAAGCAGCAGCAAAGCAUGCGCGUGAAACUGCGCAAGCACGGGAAAGGUGGAAAGCAGCAAAAGAUAUUGCUAAGAAAGGGGGUUGGCAGGCACAGCUUUCAAAGACAUUUUCUCGAGCUAAAUCACAAAGGAAAACUGAACAGCAGAAGGCAUCAGGUGUAGGUAAAUCUACUGAAGCUCCUGUACCACCACCGCCAAAGGUAGCCGAGCAAACCUCCAAAGGUUCAAAGGAGAAGAAAAAGGAACCAGGCGACCUCACAAAGAUGUUGCAUUCCCUUGAAGAUGAUCCCAAAAGUAAUGAGGGUUUUGAUUUGAAUAUUGGAGGGAAAAAUGUGAAAAAACAAGCACCAAAGGGUAAACAAUUGCAUACUCAGAGUCAAAUUUUCAAGUAUGCCUAUGGUCAAAUUGAGAAGGAAAAAGCACAACAGAACAAGAACUUGACUUUCUCCGGAAUAAUUUCAAUGGCUACUGAUAACGAUAUCAGGACCAGGCCUAUGAUUGAGAUUUAUUUCAAGGAUCUAACCCUCACUUUGAAGGGGAAAAACAAAAAUUUACUCAGGUCUGUCACUGGGAAACUCAUGCCUGGUCGUGUAUCCGCAGUUAUGGGCCCAUCAGGAGCCGGAAAAACUACAUUUCUCUCUGCUUUGACAGGGAAAACUGCUGCUGGAUGCAGUGUUACAGGUUUGAUUCUUGUAAAUGGAAAAAACGAACCUAUCCAAGCAUAUAGGAAAAUUAUUGGAUAUGUGCCUCAAGAUGACAUAGUGCAUGGAAACUUGACAGUAGAGGAGAACCUUCGGUUCAGUGCGAGAUGCAGGUAUGUGGUUUCAAACAUGUGAUACAAAUUAACAGUAUUCAUCAUCUCAUAAUUUAUACAAAACAGCUCAAAUUUAAACAGGAUAUCUUUCUGUAACUGGCUGAUCAUUGAAUUCAAAUAUGCCUAACGUUUUAUGUUAUUUUAGAAACCUUUCCUCAAUUAUAAUCACUAGUUCAGUGAUCUUACUUGUGUUGAUAUUAGUUGGAAUGUUAGGCUUGAGGCAGUCAUGGUAGACUAAUUUGUGAAAAUCAGGAAGAAUUAAUUUUUAUGAAAGCAUGAUAUUUAUCACCUUUGUAGCUCAAGCAACAUGGUGCACUUCCAACGCACUACUCUGCUAAUGGUGAAGUUGUUAAGGAGCAUCCAUGUAGAACAUAAUUUAUUGUCUUUAUGUUGAAUAAUUUGCAUCCUAUAAGUUUCAUUCUUACUUUAUCAUUUUUGUGGAUUCCAUAACACUGAAGAUUAUCUGCGGACCUGGCAAAACCCGAUAAAGUUUUGGUUAUCGAAAGGGUUAUUGAGUCCUUGGGUCUACAAGCAGUAAGGGAUUCACUUGUAGGAACAGUGGAGAAACGAGGGAUCUCUGGAGGCCAAAGAAAACGUGUAAAUGUUGGACUAGAGAUGGUUAUGGAACCUUCUCUAUUGAUCUUGGAUGAGCCUACUACUGGUUUAGACAGUUCUUCAUCACAGUUACUCCUUCGAGCACUUCGACGUGAAGCUCUUGAAGGGGUAAACAUCUGCAUGGUACUUCACCAACCAAGGUAUACUUUUUUCUAAACCCGAAAAUAAGAGACAAGAUAAGUUUUUUAUUGGCUGAAUCAUUGCAAGCCAGGUCCAGAAGGUGCUUAUUUGAGUUGAUUUUUCUCGUUAGUUACUUCUGCUUGUACAGCAAUUUGAUUAUUUAUGAUAAGAUAGUCCGUAUAGUUCUUAUAUAUAUAUAUAAAAGCUUAAAAGGCUGAAAUUACAUCAAGAAAUGGCUGCUUUUUGGUUUUCCAAUUUGUGAAGGUAACCAUUAGCUUCUUGUGAUUCAGUUAUACUUUGUUCAAGAUGUUUGAUGAUUUAAUACUUCUAGCCAAAGGUGGUCUGGUUGCAUAUCUUGGACCUGUGAAGAAAGUUGAAGAAUACUUUUCCAGCAUAGGGAUCAAUGUGCCCGACCGUGUUAAUCCUCCGGACCACUUAAUCGACAUUCUGGAAGGGAUUGAGAAACCAGCUACAGUGACUCGUGAACAACUUCCUGUCCGAUGGAUGCUACACAAUGGCUACCCAGUACCCCUAGAUAUGCUUGAUUUGGCUGAAGGACUUUCAACACCCUCUGGUUCAAAUCCAAAUAAUUCUGGCGGCGCUGCUGGGGGACAAGCAUUUGCUGGAGACCUGCCUGAUGAUGCAAAGAUUAAUGUCUCGAAAUCUAAAGAUCUAUCCAACAGACGAUCACCGGGUAUACUUCGCCAGUACAGAUACUUUCUUGGCAGGUAUAAUAAGCCAACAGCAGCAUUCCGAUCGUAUGAAUAUUUGGUUCAUAUUACAGCCUAAUCUACCACUAGAAGGACCGGUUUUUGUCAACUGUUUAAGACACCUUAAGAUGAUCUAAUCUCGGGUUGCCUAACCUUGUUCCAUAACAACAUAUGAAUGUUUGUUUUGGACCAAACACCUCCUUGUCAAAAACUGGCCUCCUUGUACAUUAAACCUUGAUGAUUUACCAUAUGUCAAAAUUUCAGGAUUCUUAAACAGCGACUACGAGAAGGUCAGAUGCAAGCUGUCGAUUUAAUGAUCCUUCUUCUUGCGGGAGCCUGCUUAGGGACUCUUGCAAAAGUGACAGAUGAAACACUGGAUAACGCUGGCUACACAUUUUCAGUCAUUGCAGUGUGUAAGUUGAAACAAAAAUGCUUGGCCUAAAGUGCUCAUGUUGCCAUUGUGUUUAUAACUUAAAAUCACCUUCAUUCGCAGCACUAUUAUCGAUGAUCGCUGCAUUGAGAACGUAUUCGCUAGAUAAAUUACAAUACAAAAGGGAGACUGAAUCCGGGAUCAGCAGUCUAGCUCAUUUUCUAUCGAAAGACACAAUUGAUUUGUUCAACAUCAUCAUCAAACCAGUGGCAUAUUUAUCAAUGUUCUAUUUCUUCAACAAUCCAAGAUCAAGCUUUCAAGAUAACUACGUUAUAUUGAUGGCACUUGUUUACUGUGUCACUGGUAUGGCUUACGUAUUAGCCAUUUCCUUUGCACCUAGUCUUGCCCAACUGGUAUGUUCUAAAAAGCUUUUAUCAUUUCAUGAACUCAUGACUUUUUUUCUAGAUGAUGAGCUUAAUAAUUUUGUUGUUUCAGUGGGCAGUGCUUGUUCCCGUUGUUUUGACUCUCGUUGCAAACAAGGGAAAAGAUAGUAUGAUUCAGAAAUAUUUUGGCAAAUUUUGCUACACAAAGUGGGCUUUGGAAGCUUUUGUCAUUGCAAAUGCUGAAAAGUUAGUAAUAUUUUUUCUUUCUUGUAAUACUGCGAUUUAUAUAUUAGAGUAUGAUCUUAAAACAACCCAAAAGAAAAUUGAAUAUACAUAUAUGCCACUCAUAUCAUAUCAUGAUUGUGAAGAUAUCAUGUUUCAAGAAUCUCCAAAUAUAUAUAUAUAUAAAUACUGGUAUCAGAAAGAUACUCAUGUUGUUGGGUAUAAUUAGAGAAGCAUAAACAUACCAUGCUUGAGCUUCCUCAAAGUGUUGAUAUUGUUCAGGUACUCUGGAGUUUGGCUAUUAACUCGUUGCAAAUCAUUGGAAUCUGGCGGUUAUAAUCUCCAUGACUGGAAACUUUGUUUAAUCAUCCUUAUUGUCAAUGGCGUUAUCGCUCGCAUUCUAGCUUUCAUUAUACUUGUAACGAGAUGAGUUUGGAGAAGAAUUCAAUUUCCUUUUUUCUUUUUUUUUUUGUUUUUUUUUUUGUAUAAAAAGAAACUCACCAUCGAACAGGAAAGAAAAGAAAAGAAAAGAAAGAAACUUCAUGGCUAACUGUUUAGAACUCUGUACGCAUGAAUUUGUGUUGUAUUUGUGUUAUUGUAUUUUUUUGUUUGUAAAUUUUGAUAUAUUAAUUAUUCAUUUUCAUAAUAUAAAAUUUUAAAGUUCGACAUAUUUGAGUUUGAUAUUAUUUUUUAUACUGUUAAUUGCAUUAACACCAAACAUCUCAAAGAUUGUUCAAAUUUUAAAUUGAUGUUUAAACUUCAAAACACUCCAAUUAAGUUAUCAAUUGUAUCAAUCGGGUCUUUUGUUAGCCUAGUCAUGGAUUUAGGUGCUAAAUGUCAAUUUGAAUAUGAUGUGGGGUGUAUUUAAAUAAUGUAAAUCAAUUUGUAAACAGGUUUGUACUUACUUUAUAGACAAUUUAUGUAACACCUGAAUUCUAGGGAACCCAAAAACUUGAAAUAAUUGGAGGAUUAAAUCGAAAGAAAUUGCAAGUUUGUGGUCUUUCUUGGAAAAAAUGGGAAAGCAAUAAAUUAAAUUGGACAUUAUUGACAACCAAACUUGGUUCAGUUAGAAUGGAACCAGUCGAUUCCUUAGUGAGAGACAUAAUAAUUAGCAAUGGAUGGAUCUCAUAAGGUUGGAAAUAGCAUGGGAAGGAUUAUAAAUAGCUAGAAAACGACUACUCAGAGAUGAUUUUCUACCUGACUUUGUUUCAUUUUCUCUUCUUCACCUUCUUCUAUUUUUUUGAAAAAGUGGAGGCUGUGUGACUCCUAUAGUGUGAAAAUUUCUAUCUUUUUCUAUAAAAUUCAAAAUAUUUUUGAUUUAGUCCCGAAUCGUUUCUAAAGUGUUUCUAAGGCCUCGAGGGCUCGAAAUAGAGACAAUAUACAUGUGUUUGAAUGAGUUUAGAUAUGAUUCAUGAAAUGUAUGUGAUUAAAUGUUUUAAGUUACAUUUUUGCGGUAAUGCUCUGUAACCCUAUUUUGGUGACAGAUAUGGGUUAGGGGUGUUACAUUUUGUGGUACUAGAGCUAUAGUUUAGUCAAUUCUCAGACUAAACAUAGCGUGUACAAGACUAGAAGUAGAUGCCAUUAUAUAACCAGUGAUAAUGUGAUAACUCCUGACAUGUUUUGAACUAUGCUUUCAUAUAGAAAUGACAUCCAACCGAGCUGACUCCGAUGAAGUUGAAAGGAGUGCCCAAGCCUCCGUACACGGAGCAGUGUCGAGUGGCACUAGGCCCGUAUCUAAGGGCCAGGGAGGAGAGGCUAAGGAAGCCUUCUUCCAUAUGAUGAACAAAUAGUUUUCUAAGUUUGUAAGAAUGAACCCAAUGGCUCAACAACCUCCACCCCCACUUGUUCCCCAACUGAUCCUCGUAGUUUCUUAGGGUUUGGAACCAAUAUGAGUUAGUAAGUCGCCAGUUGAUAAAUUUUACAAAUAUGGGGAUAAGGAAUUUAGAGCUACUACCGAAGAUGACCCAGAGAGGACUGAGUUUUGGUUAGAAAUUACUAUCAAGGUUUUGGACGAGUUGUCUUAUACAUUGACAGAGUGCGUAAAAUGUUUGUAUCUUUAUUGAAAGACUCAGCUUCUCAGUGGUGGAACACUUCAGUUUUAGUGGUACGGAGAGAGCGUAUAGAUUGGGAAUUCUUCCAAACUGAGUUCUGAAAGAAGUAUAUAAGUCAAGAGAUUUUUGACUAGAAACGCAAAGAGUUCCCUGAGCUUAAACAGGGUCGAAUGACAGUGUCUGAGUAUGAAAGAGAAUUUGUUAAACUGAGCAAGUAUGCCCGAGAGUGUAUACCAACUAAAGUUACCAUGUGUAAACAGUUUGAAGAUAGGUUAAAUGAAGACGUAAAGCUUUUAGUCGAGAUACUUGAAUUGAAAGAAUUUGUCAUUUUAGUUGACCGAGAGCAUAAAGCUGAAGAGCUUAGCAAAUAAAAGAGAAAAGUUGAUCAUGAAGCUAGAGAUUCGAGAAUGAUAUCAAUUGAGAAUUCAUAUCAGUCAUCAUCGAAGAAAUCGAAAGAACAUCAUAAUUGUUCGACAGCUUCACUGGAAUAUUCCAAUAGAGAUAGAGGUAAACAACGUGCGAGUCCAAAACCUCAGACUACGUGUGUAUGGAGUGUGGGUAGUGUCAGGAACAAUCAACCUGAUUGCCAAAAAUGUAAUAGAUGAUACUUCAAUGAGUGCAGAUUGAAAAAUGGGUCAUGUUUCAGAUGUGGUUCAUUUGAACAUUAUCUUAGAGAUUGUCUAGAGAGGUCAGAGAAAGAAAAUACUCAGACUGUUCAACCGAUCAAUACUAUCGCAAGAGGUAGACCACCUUGGAACCUUGGAAAUGUGAGCAAUAGCCAUACUAGAACAAAAGACUCUACUGUGAGAUCUGAGGUACGAGCACUGGCUAGAGCUUACGCGAUUCAUGCAUGAGAGGAAGCUUCAAUGCCAGAUGUUAUUACUGGUACAUAUUCUAUCUAUGAUACUGAUGUUACUACCUUGAUUGAUUCGGAUCAACACAUUCAUAUGUAUGCAUGAAUCUAGUGCCAAGUAAGAAUUUACCUGUUGAGUCCACUGAAUUUGUGGUUAAAUUAGCGAACCCCCUAAGUCAACAUAUACUAGUUGAUAAGGUUUGUAAAAGUUGUCUUUUAAUGAUUCGGGGUUGUAAUUUUUCAGCUAAUUUGAUGUUGUUGCCAUUUGAUGAGUUUGACGUGAUUUUGGGUAUGGAUUGACUAACUUUGCAUGAUGCUAUUAUGAACUAUAGACGAAAGCUUAUUGUGUUAAAAUGUCAAAAUAGCAAAAAUCUUUAGAUUGAAUUAGAUAGACUGGAUAGUAUGUCUAAUGUUAUUUCAACUAUGUCAGCUCAAAGAUAUGUUAGAAAAGGCUAUGAUGCUUACAUUGCUUAUAUAUUUGAUUCUAGAGUUUUUGAGUUGAAGCUAGAAUUGCUUCCACUAGUAUGUGAGUAUCCAGAUGUGUUUCCAUAGGAGUUACCUGGGUUACCGCCUAUCCGAGAGGUUGUGUUCGGUAUUGAGUUAGUACCGGGAACAUCUUUGAUAUUGAUAGCUCCUUAUAGAAUGACACCUAAAGAGUUAAAAGAAUUGAAAGCCCAGUUGCAAGAAUUAACAGAUAGGGGUUUUGCUCAACCCAAUUUCUGACCUUGGGAUGCACUAAUUAUUUUCUUUAAGAAAAAGGACAGAUUUAUCCAAAUAUGUAUUGAUUAUAGCCUACUUAACAAAGUCAUGAUCAAGAAAAACUAUCCGUUACUGUGAAUUGAUGAUCUGUUUGAUCAAUUGAAAGGUGCAACAAUGUUUUCGAAGAUUGAUCUUCGUUCUGGUUACUAUCAGUUGCGAGUUAAAGAUUUAGAUGUGCCAAAAACCAUGUUUAAGACUAGGUACGGACAUUAUGAAUUUCUUGUGAUGCCGUUUGGUUUGACUAAUGCACUUGUAGUAUUUAUGGACUUAAUGAACAGAAAUUUCAGACCGUAUUUAGACAGAUUCGUCGUAGUGUUCAUUGAUGAUAUCUUGAUUUAUUCACAAGAUGAGUCAGAGCAUGUCGAGCAUUUGAGAAUUAUUUUGCAAACUUUGCGCGAAAAGCAAUUAUUCGCUAAGUUUAGCAAAUGCGAAUUCUGGCUUCAUGAAGUUGGAUUUCUGGGACAUGUUGUAUCAGCCAAGGGCAUCAGAGUUGAUCCGAGCAAAUUUCAGCAGUUGUUGAUUGGAGGCCUCCAAGAAAUGUAUCUGAGGUUAGAAGUUUUCUAGGAUUAGCCAGAUAUUAUAGAAGGUUUAUUAAGGGAUUGGUGAUGAUUGCUACACCGAUGACGAGAUUAUUACAGAAAGAUGUUAAGUUUGAGUGGCCAAAAAAAUGCCAGUAAAGUUUCAAUCAAUUGAAAGCAUUAUUAACUGAGGCACCGGUGCUAUUUCAGCUAGAAUCGGGUAAAGAAUUCGUGAUUUAUAGUGAUACAUCUUUAAAUGGUUUGGAUUGUUUUUUGAUGCAGGAAGGCAAAGUGAUAGCGUAUGCUUCUAAACAGUUAAAGACGCACGAAAAGAAUUAUUCGGCUCAUGAUUUAGAACUGUAGCUAUUGUGUUUGCGUUGAAGAUUUGGCAACAUCAUUUAUACGGUGAAAAAUGUCAUAUCUUUACAAAUCAUAAAAGCUUAAAGUAUUUAAUGAUGUAGAAAGAUUUGAAUUUAAGACAAUGCAGAUGGCUUGAGCUAUUGAAAGACUAUAACUUCAUCAUUGAUUAUCAUCUGAGAAAAGCUAAUGUAGUUGACGAUGCUUUAAGUAGAAAAUCUUUAUUAGCUUCACGAGCGUUGAACAUGUGAUUGACGUUGUUUGAUGAUGGUUCGAUCUUAACGGAGUUGAAAGCUAGAUCGAUGUUUUUGCAACUGAUUUAUGAGGCUCAAAAGUGCGAUGACAUGUUGAUAGCUAAAUGGAAACAGAUUGAGUCGACUCCUGAUUCAAUUUUUUAGAUUGGAUCUGAUGAUAGUUUAUACUUCAAAGGUAGAAUUUGUGUUCUGAGAAAUUCAGAUCUCGUUCAUAAGAUUUUACGAAAAGCUUAUAAUAGCAGCUUGUCUGUUCCUCUUGGUAGCAACAAAAUGUACGGUGAUUUGAAACAAAUGUACUGGUGGCCAGGUAUGAAACGAGAGAUUUUUGAGUUCGUAUCGAGAUGUUUAGUAUAUCAGUAAGUUAAAGCUGAACAUCAGGUACAUUUUAGUUUGUUACAUACAAUGAUGAUUCUGGAAUGGAAAUGGGAGUGCGUCACAAUGGAUUUUGUAUCGGGAUUGCCUUUGUCUUCGAGAAAGAAAGAUGCAACUUUGGUUAUCUUUGAUCUUCUGAUGAAGUCCGUACAGUUUAUUCCAGUGUGUAUGGAUUAUUCUCUUGAGAGUUUAGUUGAGUUAUAUGUUGCUGAGAUUGUCAGAUUACACGGGGUGCCAAUUUCUAUUAUUUCUGAUCGAGAUCGUAAUUUACGUCAUGAUUCUGGAGCAAAUUACAUGAGGCUCUAGGAGCUCGUUUGCAUUUUAGUACGACGUUUCAUCCUCAGAUAGAUGGUUAGUCAGAGUGAGUGAUUCAGAUACUUGAGGAUAUGCUACGGUGUUGUGUUUUGGAAUUUGAAGGUAAUUGAGAGAGAUUCUUACCUUUGGUUGAAUUUACGUACAAUAACAGUUAUCAAUUGAGCAUAGAGAUGGCACCAUAUGAUUGAACUCAGUGGGAAAAACAUUCACGGGGUUGAUUUGAUACAAGAAAUUGAAGAAAAAGUUAAAGUUAUUCAACACAAUUUGAAAGCAACUUCAAAUCGACAGAAAUCAUAUGCGGAUUUAAAACGUAAAGACAUUGAAUUUCAAAUCAGCGAUAAAGUAUUCUUGAAAGUUUCAACCUAGAAGAAAGUUCUUCGAUUCAGACGUAAAGGAAAGCUAAGUCCACGAUUUAUCAGGCCGUAUGAGAUUAUCGAAAGAAUCGGACCAGUAGCUUAUAGAUUGGUGUUGGCUUCAGAGUUAGAAAAGAUACAUAAUGUGUUUCACAUAUCUAUGUUAUGACGAUACCGAUCAGACCCUUCACAUGUUAUCUCACCUAUUGAUGUCGAGAUUUAGCCUGAUAUGUCGUAUAGUGAAGAACCGAUCAGAAUUCUUGCCUGAGGGGUUAGAGAAUUGAGAAAUAAAAACAUAGCUUUAGUGAAAGUUCUUUAAAAAUGGCAUGGUUUAGAAGAUGCCACCUAGGAACCGGAAGAAGCUAUGAGAAAGUAAUAUCCGAACCUCUUUUCUGAUAAGAUUUUUAGGGACAAGUAUUCCUUUAGGGGGGAGAGUUAUAACAUCCCGUUUUCAGUGGAAUCAGAACAAUUGUUUUGGGACCACAAAUCCAAUGUGAAAAUAUUUAUUUUAUUAUUAUUUUAGAGUCUACGGAAUAUUAGCAAGGUCAUAUAAAGAUUUUGUUAAGAAAUUUUAUCAUUUGCAUGCUUAAUUUGGUAAAAAAGACUAAAUUGCAAAAGGUGCAAAAUUUGGGUUCUACAAGCUAAAGGUACUUAAGGGCUAUGAUAUUAAAUAGUUAAGGAAUUUAUGUGUUAAUUGUACCAUUGUUAUUAUGAGUGGACAAUUAUGGAUAUUAAACAUGUGAUUUCAAAGGUUAAUUAAUAAGGUUAAACUUGUAAUUCAAUAAAGAAAUUAAAAUAAAAUAUAGUAAAAGAUGUAUCAUCUUCAACCUUGGGUGAUACCACCAAAGUUGAAGAAAAAGAAAGAACAUUUAGGGCGUUGAAGCAUUCAGUCAUCUCUUCCUCUUGCAUGUAAGCAUUUUUCUUCUUAUUUUUAAUGAUUUUUAUGUUUUUGAAGUCGUAGCUUAAUCUAGCUAGCCCAGGGACUAAUUUGCAAAAUUGUUAAAAGUUAGGGUUUUUCUAUGAAUGUAUUCAUGUGUUUUUUGUUGUUUGAUACAAGAAAAUAAAUUAUUGUUGAUAAAUAAACAACUUUUGUAAAGUGAUCUUUGUUGAAGUUGUCAAUUAGGGAUUUAUUUGUAAAAUGUGUAAAAUACACGGUGAAAAGUGUGAAAUAGUGAAUUGUAUGAGUUGAUAUGGACCUAUAUGAAAUUCAUCUAGCUUGGGUAGGGAUGAAAUUGCAUGAAUUUUAAAUUACGAGCUUAAGGACUAAAUUAUAAUGAAAUCAAAAUAAUAGGGGCAAAAGCGCAAUUUUGUAAAAAUAUGAAUUUGGAUUGAAUUGAAUAGAAUGGUUAUUAAAUAGAUUGAAUUUAUUUAUUUAGAUCAAGAUAGACAUCGUAUGGCUUUAGAUCGAAGCAAAAAAAAAGCUUCAGAUUAGUCGACUCCAUUUCUACGCAUUUAUUGUCGAGGUAAGUUCGUAUAAUUAUGUAAUGUUUUAAUGCAAUCUUUUGAGCUAUAUGUAAAUUAUGGAUUGUUAUGUAAAUGAUCGAUGGAAAUCCAAUGAUGUUACGAUGUCUAACGAGCCCGGUUUGAACCUUAAGAAUUCGUAGGAUACAAAUGACAUGUUAUUAGGCUUUACAUAUUUUGGGUGCUGGUCUCGAAUAUCCUACCGAUGGCUGAGGUCUGGCAUGUGUUGCGGAUACUCCACAACUCGUGUGAGCAGCAUCGUGUAGCUUACACUUUGACCCACAACUCGUGUGAGCAGACCCAUUUCACAGCUCGUGUGAGCAACUAUGUAUAUGACAGGAAAGAUUACGAUUAUAUGAUUAGCACACUUUGUGUUAGCUAUCCCACGUGUCUAAUGAUAUUCUAACAGUUCAACGGGCAUAAAUUUGAAACGAUAUAGUAAGUGUUUAAUAUGAACUAAGUCUUGUAUGUAUGAAUUACAUUGAAAUGGUGAGCUACAUGGAAAACAUGUUAUGUUAUGAUAGAUGAUAAAUCCAAUUGAAUCAUGCUCAAGUUUAAUGCUUAUACAUGUUAAAUUCAUAUGAAUCAUGUUCAAUUAUGCUAACAUGUUUGUGUUGGUGCUUAAGCUUGUGCCCAGCUAAAAGUUGGAUUAUGCCAUGCUAAAUUUUAAAUGUUAUGAAAUGCAAUGGUAAGUUGGGCUUUAUGAUACUACCAAGCAUUAUGUGCUUACAUAGUCUCCUUUCCCAUGUUUUAUAGAUAACAGGAAACUCGUUCGGUUUGCAAGCUCAUUGGAGACCUAUCACACUUUUCAGUGACUAUAUCGGUAGAUUUUGAUGUUUUGAGUCAUGGUUAUAAUGACAUGUAGGUGAACUAUGUUUGAUGAUUUAGUUGUUAUGUUUGGUAUGUAAAUAUGUGGUUACUUGGUUGAUGAAAUUUUGGCAUUUUGGUGCUUUGAUGGCUAAUGUUGAAAUGGUUAGGUGACGAUAUGUUUUGAAUGAUCAAAUUGGUAGGUUUAGAUGUGUUUGGCAUAUGGUUAGUUGUGCUAUGGCUUGGCAUGAAAAUAGGUAGUUGUCUGUGGUUGAUUUAUGCCAAAUGUGUUUAUGUUUUGGUUGAUUUGAUGAUUUGUAAUUGAGGUGCCUUUUGGGCAUAUUAGUUGUAUGGAUAGAUACCAUAUUGAUCUAGCUUUACUAUGCAUGUGUUAGGUAUGUUUUGAAGCUGGGUUGUAUGGGUAAAUGACUUGUAGGUGUGAACAUGGAUUGGGUGAAAAAAAUGGCUUGAAAAUGGCCUAUUUCUUGUCCACACGGCCUAGGACACGGGCAUGUGUCUCAGCCGUGUGUAACACACGGCCAUGCGACACGACCAUGUGUCCCUUGUAGGUUUCAAAGGGUUGCAAGUCAGACAGUUACAUGACCUAGCACACGGGCGUGUGAGGCCAUUUCGAGAGUUACACGACCUGGCACACAGGCGUGUGGCUUGGCCAUGUAACCCAAGUCAGAGAGUUACACGGGCACGGACACAGGCUGGGACAUGGUCGUGUGUCCCUAUUUCAAAUGUCCACAUGGCUUGAGACACGGGCGUGUGUCUCAGCCAUGUGAGUCACGCAGCCUGGCCGCACAACCGUGUGACCCCUGCAGUGUGAAAAUUUCUAUCUUUUUUUAUAAAAUUCUAAAUGUUUCUAAUUUAGUCCCGAAUCAUUUCUAAAGUGUUUCUAAGGCCUCAAGGGUUCGAAAUAAGGAUGAUAUACAUUUGUUUGAAUGAGUUUAUAUAUGAUUCAUGAAAUGUAUGUGAUUGAAAGUUUUAAGUUAUGUUUUUGUGGUAAUACUCUGUAACCCUAUUACAGCGACUGAUAUGAGUUAGGGGUGUUACAGUAAAAAUACAUAAAUGAAGUUAUAGAUCUUUAGAACUAUCUUAAAGGUUCUACUUACUUAUGAAAGUCUAAGCUUUUAAGAUGAAAUACAAGUUUAACCAGUAGGUUUUUGGUUGUAAUGCUUAGUGGCCAAGAGAAUGGAAGCUUUCGCGUUCGAGAAAGCUAAGUCGUCAAAAUGGUAGAGAUUCAGUUGAGUUCCAGACUCCAAAUCUGCUAAAAUGAUUUUUUUUGUUUGAGCGUGUCAUGUUUGCAUAAGCAUGAAGUGUAAUUAUAUGAGCAUGCAUUGCAUAACUAUAAGAAAAUUCUCAAUGGGAUAGAUAAAGUUAAGAUGAGAAAAAAGGGAGAGAAUUUGUUAGUUACCACCUCGGGCCUUGCGGAGGGAACACUGCGAUGUUUGAGCAUCAAGGUUAGGUGGUGUAAAGGUGAAAAUCAUGGAAAGGUAUUUACCGCGAUAGCGGUAUACAUUGGUCCUUUAGGGUGACCCCGUGACGACGGUAUAUGGCGUAAGACCAUAGAUGAAAGAGGCUAUGAUAGUCUAGUAUGAAGUACAUAGCGUAGGACCAUAGAUGAAAGAUGUCAUGGCAGCGUGGUACAAGGUAUAAGAUAUACGGUGUAAGACCAUAGAUGAAAGAAGCUAUGACAGUCAGGUAUGAGAAGUAAGACCAUGGAUGGAAAACUCUAAGGCAUCCAUAGAGAUAGUCUGCUAGGAUAGUACGCACAUGAUAGAUACUCCACUGGGAUAGUAAACGCAAAAUAGAGAUAGUCUAUUGGGGCAGUAAAUAAGGAUAUCUGCUGGGACAGUAAAUACAGAACAGAGAUAGUCUGCUGGGACAGUAAACACAUAACAGAUAGUCCAUCGAGAUAGUAAACAUGGAGUAAAUACAUUCAGACAAGAGAAAUAAAGAAUAAGGGUAUACGACCAUAGCUCAAUAAUAGAGACCCAUAGAGUCCGCAAUGAAACAAAUGUGGAAGGUACGCCAAGACCUCAAGUAAGGAGUAUACAUCUAGUGCGCCAUGUAUGAGAAACCACGUAGGUGGAGGAAGGGUUAAAACAAAGAGUGAGUAAUGACAGGCGAAUUUUGAGGAAUUUUCAAAAAAUGAUGAUAGUGGAAAUGACAAUUGUGAAACUCAACAAUGCAUGGGCAAAAACCUCACAGGAAUUAGAGGAAGAUAAGUCGUGCGAGAGCUGGCCUAAUUAUAGGAAUGUUAAAAGGGAAAUCAUCCAAGGAUUACAAGAGAGUGUCUGAAAUCAAGACCACCAAUGAAUUUUUAUGUGAGAUGCAAAUCUUGUGAGAAGGAUUGUCACACCCCAAAAUAGGUCCUAGGAGUUUUAGGGGUAAUUUAGGAAUUUUAGCCUUAGAGUGUUCAAAAUUUGGUGACAUGGUUAAUCGACAGUGUUUCUUACUAUGAUUUUUAGAAAAUUAAAUCAAUUUAUGAAAAUGAGUUUUAAAUACCUUUAAUUUUGCAAAAGAGUCAAAAUUGUGAGUUUCUAAGAGGCAAUUAAACCAAAUUUUCAAAUUCAACCUAAUACUUCCCCCACCUACAUAUAUUUGACAUUAGUUCUUCCCCUCCCAUUCAUGUUGCUGCCCCUUUGUUUUCCUACACACAUUCCAAUCGAUUUUGAUUCCUAAUUUCUAUUCCUUUAAUUUAUAUCCUCCUACUAGUCAAAAACCUCCAUAAAUACCAAGAAAAACACCUAAAAUCACCAUAGUUUCCUCCAUUGUCAAGCUUGUGGGUUUUUUGGGUUGUCAAUCAAACGCUGGGUUUUUCACCAACUAAGGUAACAAUUCAUCUUCCUAUUAGUUUUAAAUGUUAUUUAGUCUUUAAAACCAAGUUUUUAGCCGUUAAAUUGCAUAUUUUAAAUAAAAUCCAAAAAUUAGGUCGUUAAUGGUAGAUUCUGGGAUUCUGCAUAAAAACGUGAUUUCAAAGUGUUUUUUAACUUGUUUUAACAUGAUUAGAAAGUUUCUAAAUUUGAUGUUUCGUUAAAGAUUUCUUAAGUUUUAUGAUUAGAAAGUAGCCAUAAAACAUGUCAAAAAAGUUGUUUCUACAAAUUGAGUAUUAUAUUGUAUUUUAAAGGUUGAGAAUUAGUUGUAGGUGCGUUAUAAGAUGAACAGAAUUGGUUUUAGGUGAAAAUAUUAAGUCUAGACCGAGAUAUUUGAUUUUUAAGUUCGCUACGUUAAAAGUUUCGGUUACAUGAGAACUUAGUUUAGGCUUAUGUUUUGUAUGCUUGUAAUGAGUCCUUGGCUGAUUUUUUGAUGUAUUAUUGUGUGAAUUUGUUGUGUUGAAGUUCUAGAUUCGGUAGAACCUUCUACGAGUAGAGAUAAAGGCAAGAAAAAGCUAGUUUGAGCUUUCAACUUUUCAGCGAAAGCGUAAUUGGUGAGUGUUUGGGAUAAUUGCUUGUGGACAUGAUUCAAUGCAUUAUUUAGGAACAUGGUAGUAGCCUAAACCCCUACUCUAAAUUCCGAGUGUAAGCUUUCUCAUACCUGUGCUAUCUUGUGAACAAAGUGCUUAUGUGGUUGUGAAUAUGUGAAUUGAGAUGAGAAGUUAUAACAUGUGAUAUGUGGUUAUCAUAACUAUUGUGAAAGUGAAAAUAUGUACAUGUUAUGUAUAUGUUAAAUGUUAGUGAUUGUGUUUUGCUAAAGAUGCAAAUAUGCAGUGAUUGUGCACGGAUAAUCGGUAAGUGAUAUGUGUUUGACUUUAGAUAUUUCGGCCUUGUGAUCUUGAAACCUUUGGAUAUAGUUGGAAUGCCAUAGGAUUGUGAGUACUCACCUAUGUACAGUGAUUUGGGGCAUUAAGGCCCUGGACAUGUUGGAGGGAUAAGGGAAUGUGAGCUAAGUUCCAUUCAACGGGACAUGUGAGGGGAAAUAAGGAGAGUGUUAUUUACGUUUCACUUUUAGGACAUGUUUGACUCUAUGAGUCUAUAUUUGGUGUGUUGGAGAUCUGUGUAUCCGAUUUGUGUUGAUAAAGCUCACUUUUAUGUUUCACAUCAAUUGUCAAAUUCUCUUAAAUUAUGAAUAUGUGUGUAACCUCGCAAACUUGGCCUAGACGUUAUGACUAGAUUGAAAAGGCUACAUUAGCCAUCGAAAUGGCUAAGCUAACUUACGUUACUUUUUAGGACUUCAAAAAACUCAUUUUAGAGAAAACCAUAGUUGUACUCUAAGUUAGCUUCAAAGCAUUCAUUCAUUAGUUCGUGUAUGCUUAGGAUUCAUUUUAUUGUUGACAGUGUUGUUUUAGAAAAACCGUUUGCUUGUCGCUCUUCUUUAAAAAAAACUCGAAGUUAAACUAAUACAGUAGAAAAACCAUUUUUCAAGUAAAUUUGGAAAAUUAAUUGCCUUACCAAUUUGUUUUUCAAAAAUAGUUCCUUUGCAAUGUAGUGGAAACUAGGGAACACCAUUAAAUUUUACUUAAGCCCGAUAUCAUGCAUUAUCCGAUUAUUAUGCUUGAGUAACUCAUGCAUGCAAAAAUCCCCAAAAGAAAAGUUACCAAGCCACAAACCAGAAAUAAUUAAAAAUUACAAGUCAAAACCAAGAAAUACUUAAUAAUACUUAAUUAAAUAAUAAUAAUCUGAGGUUCAAGUUGAUUUUCCGAAUGCCGAGUCUGAUCCUAAUUUUGAGGUUUACCUAAAAAGUUAAACACUAUUGGGGGUGAGCUUAUGAAAAGCUCAGUGUGAGUCAAAUAAUUAUUUAAACUGGCAAAAACAUCAAAUACAGUGAAACAUAUUAGCAUUAACAGAAGAAAAUAGAACCAUUAUAGGAAUUUCUUGUUCAUUACAUAGCCAUUAUCAAAUUGAUGUCAAACGGUGUGUGAGCAUAGGUCAUCAUUCUUUCAAGUAACAAUCAUUAAUUAUGAUACCAUUCAAUACAACAAAAUACAAUGCGUAGCAUAAAUCAAUAACAUUCGAAUAUGUCAUGCACAUAACGCAAUGCAAAAAGGUUCCUACCCAUACUAUCUGCUACACACCACGAGUUCCCCAAAACCUAUCUGCCAAACUCCAAAACAUUAUGAGCAUAGCUCGAUGUGGUAAAACCACCGAAUAAUCAAUAAUGCAGAAAAUUUGUUGGAUAUCAAAUAGUGCGAUAUAAUUGCCAAUAACAUAUAAUAUACGAUAAAAUCGUCAAUCUCCUCGGUGCUCUAGGUGUAGUGUACUGACUUCGAAUAAUGCGAACUUAAUAUGCCGUUGGUACUCCACAGAACUCCUCCGUCAACCACAAAAUUCCAACCCAAUGCAUAUGCAAUAUACCGCACAAUCUCAUAUAUAAUCAUAUUUCAAUACUUUUCACAUUCAUUUGACAUGCUCAUCAUGUCCUCAAUAAUCACAUACUUUCAGUAAUGGAAGCAGUGUUCCAAUCUUUCAAAUUACCAUUAUGUUGGUAUCAAUCAAUAUUGUUCAAUUUUACAUACUUUACGGAAUUUUAUUGUGCAUAAAUAUCACCCUUUUCAGUACACAAUCUAACAAAUAUCUCAUGCAUUUAUAUCAUACAUAAGCUUAAUAUCUCAAUACACUAUAUCAUUUAGUCAAACAUUCUCAUAUCUCAUAACUCAAAUAUGCAAUUACAAACUCAAUCAAACAUCCAUACUAUCAAACUAGGCUUUUUGCCAACAUGUCAAUCUUUUAAGGCUCGAAACAUACCUGGUUCGGCCACUCACAAAAUCAAUAAUUUGGCUAUUAAUUCAAUCCAAUCAGAAAACUAAUUUAUCAAAUAUAAUAUGAUAUUUAACAUUUUCAAACAAUUUUAUGAGUUUAGGACCCACACCUUAUUUUUCACUUCCUCGCAGCACACUAGCGAAUCUUCCAAUUUUCCUUAAUAAUUCCUUAAAUGAACCUAAACCAAAAUUCAGUAUAAAUUCAAUCAAUUUACCAUUAAAUCAGCCCCCAAACACCCACUUAUGAAUUCAAACCAGUCGUUGAAAUUAUAACUAUUUUAUGAAUCCAAACUAGUUAGAUUCAUUACACUGUAUCGAUGCAAACUGUACGUACAAUCGUUCUUUGCCUUUACAGAUGAUUUGGGGUGUUUGGGUCAGCAGCUAAUUCAAUAAUACACUGGAAAAUAAAUAUCUAAUUAAUUAUUAAAUUCCUUCAUUUAAUCAAUUCAUAACCUUUACCCAACAACUAUGUUGAAAUAACAAACUAGUUACCCUUAAUUGCACUUACGCUUCAUGAUUUGUGGAAUCCAAAUGACCAAUUUAUCAAGAACAUUUUUCCCUAAUUGUAAUGGGUUUAAAAUCUGAAUAUGAGGGUUCAAGAACUCAAAUUAAUUCUGGAAAAAUAUAGGCAAGAACCAAGAAACAAAACAACCUCUUUUCUUGACCAUAGGUGCACGCACCACCACCAACGGUGGCCAAAAGUGGGGCUAAAUUUUAAAACAAAUUGAGAUUUCAUUAAAAUCUAGAAAAAUACCUUUGAAAUCAUUUAAAAUCCACAAAAUUCCAGAUCUAGAAAUUUAUGUUUUUUUUAAUGGACAAGAUUCAUUAAGAAAUUGAAGAGAGAAGAUACCUUACCCAAGCUAGUCGAGAUAAACGACUAUAACACUUUCUUGGCAAUGUUCGGGACCAAUCUUGGAGUUCAAGAUUUCAAAUUUGGGGCUAAUUUUAAUGAGGAAAAAUGAUAGCAAUAUGGUGGAAAAUAUGUUAACAAAUCUUGUGGCAAAAAGAAAAAGAAAAAAAAAAGAAAAAGAUGGUAAAACUAGGUGUAGGCACGACAACAAUAGAGGAAAGGAAAAAAAUUAAAAUCAAAGAGAAUGAGAGGAUGAGAGGAAUGGAUAGGGAAAUGAGGAGGAGGAUUAAAGGCUGAUUAUUAGUGAAAAAUUAAUAUUUAUACCUAGGUUAACUAGGCUUGGAUGGCCCACACAUUACAACAAGGGUUUUUUUGUCAAAAAAUUAAAUUAUUUGCAUGGGAAGGGAAUUGAAGGUGAGACCUCAAGGAUAAAUUCACUAAUUUUUAACCAUCAAACCAAUAACGCAUUCUUGAUAUAAUUUGAAAUAUUUAUUUAAAAAAUAAGGCAUGUCACAUACUAGGGUUUAAGGCAAAAUUUGCAAAAUAAUAAAAAUUGUGAGAGAGAAGGGAUUUGAACUUGGGUUUCAAGGAACAUUUCAUUAACACUUAACCAAAAAACCAGUACCUCAUUUAUUUUCAAAAAAUGAAUAGAUAAAUUUUAAAAAUUAAGCCACUCUCUCUCGAUUCACAAACCCGAUUCUACUAAUCCUUGAUUUUUUGGAUGUUACAAUGUGUGUAUUGUGAUAUGCGUUUAUAUGACAUGUGGUCAUUAUGUAAUUUCUCUAUAAAGAUGUUUCCGAGUAUUGUGAUAUAUGCUUGACCGUUAUGCGAUUAAAUGAGUAUUGCUAUAUGUGCUUGAGCAUUAAGUGAUUAUAUGUGUAAUAUGGUGCAUGCUUAAAAGUUAAUAUGUUUACCAUGUAAAAGAACUAGUGAUAAUGCUAUAUGGUUGUUUCGUUUAUGCUUGAUGAAUUGUUUGCAUUGUGGUGAUUCCAAGCAUUCUCAGAGCUUGUUAAGCUCACCCAAUCCUUUUAAAUAAUUAUAGAUUAGUUGUGUGCCGGUGUGAGCGGUGUGGUUUCCGAGAGUUGAUCCAAGCAAGUCUAUUUAUUAUUUUGUGGGUGUUCUAUAUUUAUUUAUGUUUUGGGGAAUGAGGCAAUAUGGUAGACUUGUUUAUAGCCAUGUUAAGUUCUUGACAUUUUGCUGGUUUUGGGUUUGGGUUUAUAAGGAUUGCAUGUUAUUGUUAUGCUUAAGUUCAUGAACAUUACGAUGGAUUGACAUUACUUGUUCGAACAUGAUUUUACGAUAUUGAAUUGUUAAUUAGGCCGUUGAAUGAUUAUUUGUAGAAGUAAUUGAUGUAUGAUGUUUAGGAACUAUACUGGAAUGGAUUAAUUACUUAUAUAUGCUGCAUUUUUUAGUUCUGGAGCAGAGGUAUUGAUAAUCAAGUUUUAAAAUUGAUACCUCUAUGUUUUGAAAUGUGCAGAAAGUAAAAAUAGAGAUUUGGUAUCCAUACCUUUGCUCAAGUAUCGAUAAUUUUUUAGACUUUGAUUUUUAAUCGAGAAACAUAAUGCAAGUUUGGUAUCAUUUUUUCCAAGUAGUAUCGAUACCACUUAAAGAAAAUAUUGAUUCCUUAGUGUCAGUAUUGAUACUUUCAGACCUGGAUUGAGAAUUUUGCUUAAUGGAUCUUAUGCAUGUUUUAAUAUGUUUAUAAGACUAUUUAAUGUAAGUUUAGAACGUAAUAUUAAUAACUAGCUAGUAUGAUUGACUGAAAAUCGAUGCGAAUAGCAAACUAAUGGAUGUUUUGUUGAAAUGAGCUUUUACUAGUUGGUUAUGACAUGAGACAGAAGUGUGGCAUCCUGAUAUUAGAGCUUGGCGACCAGGUCGGGUAUAGGGUGUUACAUUUUAUGGUAUCAGAGCUAUAGAUUUAAUAACUCUCAGACCCUUGGUGAUUAUUAUGUGUUGGGAGUUUCAAAACUUAUGGGUCUAAAUUUUUCUAUUUUCUUAGAAUAGUUGAUAUAACUUUGUUUGAACUGCAUGUGUUUGUUUAAAAUGUUCUAGUUGAAUUGCAUUUGGGGUAGGAAUGGGAACACAUUGCCUUUAAUCCUAAAUUUUACUUGUAGGAAGAAACUUGGAUCAUCUCCUUGCCACUAACACCAUUUGUUUGUUUGUUUGUAUGUAUUAGAUUAGAUUCAAUAUGCCUUGUAAAUGUGUUAACAUGAGAGCUAAUGCUCAGGAGGAUGGUACAUCCUCCGCACCUCCUAUACCGCCGCGUAGAGUGAAUAUACCUGAUGAGGGUGUAGGCCCUCUAAUGGAAGUUAUAAUUGGAGCGUUUCAACGAAUUUCUAGUGCUAACACUACUAAUGCUCCUGUCAAUCCUGCACUUGUGAAUCGUGGGUUACCGCUUUAACAUCUUUGGGCAUUGGGUGGUAAAGAGUUUUCUGGAGUAAAAAGUAUUGGUCCGACCGUAGUUGAGUAUUGGUUGGAAGGAGUUGAAAAGAUCCUCGAACAAAUGUCUUAUUUUGACAAGGAAAUGUUGGGUUUUGUUAUGUCCUUACUUAAUAGUGAGGCUCAUCGUUAGUGGAAUAUUAUUAAGAGGGGUACUUUUUCUGAUAGAUUGACUUGGAAUUAUUUUCUCAAGGUUUUUAAGAGGGAGUUUAUGGGUGAGCAGUAUAGGGAGGCUCAUAAGCGCGAGUUUUUGGAUUUGGUUUGAGGAGAUUUUUCUGUGGCUGAUUAUGAGGCUGAGUUUGUACGACUUAGUUAGUAUGCUCCUGGGAUGAUACUUUCUGAAAAGGACCACUAUAAGAGGUUUCAUUUUGGGAUUAAUCAUGAGACUUAGGCUUAUUUGGUAGCAUAGAAUGUAGAGAUGUUUGAUGAGUUAGUUGAGAAAGCCAAAGUAGUUGAGGAGACUUUGGCUAAGUUGCCUCGUUUUGUGGUAACUAAAUUGGGUAAGAAGACUUCUGAUGGUGCAUCUGGACGACCGUCUAAGAGAAGACGGUAAAUUCAGGGUUCUGAUGGGAGUGUAGAUACGAGUUUCAACAAAGUGAGUCUAAAAAAUAGAAUAAUGUAGUGGUUAGCAAUAGUGGGUUGACGGGUGGUUCUAGAUGACCGCUUUGUGUGCAUUGUGAGCAUAGGCAUCCUGAUGAGUGCCGUAAGCUGACAGGUGGUUGUUUUAAAUGUGGUUCGAAGGAACAUUUUUUGAGGGAUUACCCAAAUAGAGUUGAGGUUUCGCAGACUUAGAGUUUGACACUUGUUAGAGUUUGACACUUGCUUCAAUGCUUGCUAGAGGCCGUGGUUGCGAUACAGGUAAUGGAAGACCGGUUGGGCAGCGAAUUGUUGCUCAUACUAUUGCUACAUUGGUUGAGUCUGGAGGUCCAGCUCGAGUUUAUGCUAUUAGGAAACCACAAGAUUGAGAUUUGAACAUUGAUAUUGUGGGUAUUCUUACCUUGUAAUCACUUCUUUUAUUGCCGUUGAUAGAUUUAGGUUCUAUGCCUUCAUAAAUUUUAAGUGAAUUAGCUAAUAAGUAGAGAAUCCUGAUAGAGACUACUGAGUUAGGAAAAAUGGUUACGACUUCUUUAGACGAAAGUGUCAUAGUGAAUAAAGGAAACUGUUAGCAAAGUUUCUGUAGAAUAAGUUUCCGGUAUUAAAUAGGAUCAUUAUGGAAAGUAGUAGGAAGUUAGAGAGAAUGGGAAUCAGAGUGCGCAGUGAAAGUGUGAUAGUUAGUUUAAAAGUAGAAAUAGCAUAUCUUCUAAUUAAGCAAGUGAUGUGUCAGUUGGGAAUUUCGAGGACAAAAUUCUUUUUAGAGGGGGAGAAUUGUCACACCCCAAAAUAGGACUUAGGAGUUUUAGGGAUAAUUUAGGAAUUUUAGCCUUAGAGUGUUCGAAAUUUUGUGACAUGGUUUAUCGAUAAUGUUUAUUACUAUUAUUUUUAGAAAAUUAAAUCAAUUUCUGAAACUGAGUUUUAAAUAACUUUAAUUUUGAAAAUAGGACUGAUGUGUAAAAAAGUCAAAAUUGUGAGUUUUUAAGAGGUAAUUAAACUAAAUUUUAAAAUUCAGCCUCAUACUUCCCCCACCUACAUAUAUUUUACGCUAGUUCUUCUCUUCCCAUUCUUGUUGUCGUCCCUUUGCUUUCCCACAGUUAUUUCAAUUGAUUUUGAUUCCUAAUUUCUAUUCCUUCGAUUUCUAUCAUCCUCCUAGUCAUGAACCUCCAUCAAAAACCAAGAAAAACACACAAAAUCACCAUAGUUUCCUCCAUUGUCGAGCUUGUGGGUUUUUCGGGUUGUUGAUCAAAUGCUCAGGUUUUUACCAACAAAGGUAACGAUUUAUCUCCCUAUUAGGUUUAAAUGUUAUUUAGUCUUUAAAACCAAGUUUUUAGCCAUUAAAUUGCAAUUUUAAAUAAAAGCUGAAAAUUGGGUCGUUAAUGGUGGAUUUUGGGAUUUUGCAUAAAAAUGUGAUUUCAAAGUAUUUUUCAACUUGUUUUAACAUGAUUAGAAGGGUUCUAAACUUCCUUUGAAGUUGUGUUAAAGAUUUCUUGAGUGAUUAUAUGUGUAAUAUGGUGUAUGCUUAAAAGUGAAUAUGUUUACCUUGUAAAAGAACUAGUAAUAAUGCACGAGUAAGUAUAAUAUGACACUAGAAUUAGAACUAUUGAGGUUAUGCUAUAUGGUUAUUUCGUUGACGCUUGAUGAAUUGUUUGCAUUAUGGUUAUUCUAAGAUUUGACAGAGCUUGUUAAGCUCACCAACUCCUUUUAAACCAUUACAGAUUAGUUGUGUGCCCAUGUGAGUAGUGUGGUUUCCGAGAGGUGAUCCACUCAAGUCUAUUUAUUAUUUCGUGGGUGUUCUAUAUCUAUUUAUGUUUUGGGGAAUGAAGCAAUGUGGUAGACUUGUUUAUAACCAUGUUAAGUUCUUGACAUUUUGCUGGUUCUAGAUUCGGUUUAUAAGGAUUGCAUGUUAUUGUUAUUCUUGAGUUCACGAACAUGAGGAUGGAUUGACAUUACUUGUUCAAACACGAUUUUGCAAUAUUGAACUGUUAAUUAGGCCGUUGAAUGAUUAUUUGUCAAAGUAAUUGAUGUAUGGUGUUUAGGUACUAAAUUGGAAUGGAUUAAUUGCUUAUAUAUGCUGCAUUUUUGAGGUUUGUAAUGAAGGUAUCGAUAAUCGGGUUUUUAAAUCGAUACCUCUGUGUUUUGAAACGUUCAAGAAGUUAAAAUAGAGAUUUGGUAUCCAUACCUUUGCUCGAGUGUUGAUACUCGGGGUAAAUUUAUCGAUACUUUACGACAGUACCAAUAAUUUUUGAGACUUUGAUUUUUAAACGAGAAAUAGAAUGCAAGUUUGUUUGUUUGUUUGUAUGUAUUAGAUUAGAUUCGAUAUGCCUCCUAGAUGUGUGAACAUGAGAGGUAGAGCUCAAGAGGAUGGUAUAUCCUUUGCACCUCAUGUACCACCGCGUAGAGUGAAUAUACCUAAUAAGGGUGUAGGCCCUUUAUUGGAAGCGAUAAUUGGAGUGUUUCAAUAGAUUACUAGUGCUAAUCCUACUAUUGCACCUGCCAAUCCUACACCUGUGAACCGUGGGUUACCGCUUGAACAUCUUCGGGUAUUAGGUGGUAAAGAGUUUUUCGGAGUAAAAGGUCCUAAUCUGACCGUAGCUGAGUAUUGGUGGGAAGGAGUUGAAAGGAUCAUCGAACAGAUGUCCUAUUUUGACAAGGAAAUGUUGGGUUGUGUUGUGUAUUUACUUGACAGUGAGACUCAUUGUUGGUGGAAUACGAUUAGGAGGGGUAUUGCUUCUAAUAGAUUGACUUGGAAUUAUUUUCUCGAGGUUUUUAAGAGGAAGUUUAUGGGCGAGCAGUAUAUGGAGGCUCAUAAGCACGAGUUUUGAUUUGGUUCAAGUAGAUUUUUCUGUGGUUGAUUAAUAGGUUGAGUUUGUGCGACUUAGUCAGUAUGCUCUUGAGAUGAUACUUUCUAAAAGGGACCAUUUUAAGAGGUUUUUUUUUUGGGCUUAAUUGGUAGUACAAAAUGUAAAGAUGUUUGAUGAGUUAGUUAAGAAAGCCAAUGUAACAGCCCAAUAUUGACCCUAAUCGAACAUAGUGGUUUCGGGACCACAAAUCCGAGUUAGAAAAAUAUUUUAAUAUUAUUUUGUGUGUUUAUUAUGUGUGAAUUUGAUUGUGUGAAAUUUUCGUGUUUUAAUUUCGUCGUUUAAGUGUCCGAUUUAGUAAAAGGGCUUAAUCGCGUAAAAUGAAAAUUAAGGGGUUAAAUAUAAAAGCGCCUAGUUGUUGUUGUCUUUUUAAAUGGGAGGAUUUAUGAUGCAAUAAGACUAUAAAGUAGAUAGUGGGUGGCAUAUGACAUAAUUAACCUUAAUAUAUAUGUUAUAUAUAUUUAUUAUAAUAAGGUUAAUUUUGUCAAUUAUUAAAUUAAACAUUAUAAUUAAAAAUAAAUGAUGAAAAGAUGAAUGUUUUCAUCUUUUCUUAGCCGAAUGUUAACAUGAAGAACCCAACUAUGGCUUUUUAAAGUUCGGCACUUUCAUAGCUUAAUUAAGGUUAGUUUUGUUUUGGUUUUUGAUAAUUUUUACGUUUUUGAGAUCGUUGCUUUGUGUACUACAAGACCCAUGCUUUAAUUUUAGAAUUUGAUGGUGAUUUUGAGAUAUGUCAUUGAUGAAUGUUUGAGCUUUUAGAUAGUUGAUGAUGAAAUAUGAAAGAUGGGUCAAAGAUUAAUAUGUUUUGUCUUUGAAUUUUUGGUGAAAUUGAGUAAAUAGGGCUAUUGUGAAAUUAAAUUUUUAAGGGACUAAAAUGUAAAUUAAAUGAAAUGUGUGGACUUGUAUGAAGCCUAUGAACAAUCAGCCCUAGCAUAGGUUAGGCAAAUUUUGUUUAUUUUUUGUUUUAUGCAAUAGGGACUAAAUUGCAAAAAGUGUAAAAUUCUAGGGGCAAAAUGGUAAUUUGCCCAUUUAUGUGUUUUUGGACUAAAUUGAAUGUAAUAAUAUUUAAAAUAGUUUAUUUUGAAUAUAUUUAGAUCAAAAACCAAAGAAAUCGGAGUUGGAUCGGGAAAAAGCUAAAGUCGUCGACUAAUCAUCCGGUUUCGAUUUUACACUGUCCGAGGUAAGUCUAUUAGCAAUUUGAUGUUAUUAAAUCAAUAUAUAUGUAUGUAUAUCUAUAUGUAUAAAUUCUUGUUUUUAAUCAAAGGUAUAUAUAUAAUAUAUAUGUAUACAUAAGGUCCGAAUAUAUAUAAGUAUAUACAUGUAUAAACCCUUGGACUUGGUUAAAGGUAUGAAUGUUUUAUAUAUGUAUAUGUGAGUUGGAACAUAUAUGUAUAUACAUGAAUAAGUCUUGAAUAUAUUUAAAGUUAUGAAUAUUAUGUAUGUAUAUGUAAAUUCGAAUAUGUAUGUAUAUACAUGUAUAAGUUUUUGUAUUGAAUUAAAUGUAUGAAAUGGUUAGCUUAGAUUAUCUAUUAGGUAUUCGAAUGUAUGAUAUAUUUUCUUUGAAUUGAUUUUUAAUGUUAUGAAAUAUAUAUGUAUUUAAGUGAUUCGAUUAGUAAAUGUAUAUUACUUAAGGUAUGAUAUAAGUUAAAUGAUAAGAUUUCAGUAGUAGAAUUUAUUUUAUUAAGUUAUAUAUAUGUGAGUGUUCAGAUGUUUAAUUAAGUUAUUUAGCUGAAUUUGGUAUUUGAUAUUUAUAUAUCUAUGUGGUUUAAAGAUAUAGUUUAUAAAUUAUUGAGCUGAAUUUUUAUUUAUGGAUAUUAUAUAUACAAAUAUAGUUCGAAUAUGAGUUACAACUUCUGUGAAUUGAGAUUUUCAGGCUCAGUGCCUAUCAGGUUUAUUGUUAGUGAAAUAAUUUAGACUUUACGUCUAGCAGGCUUGAUGCCGGUGAAACAUUUCAGACUAUAUGUCUAGCAGGCUAAGUGCCGGUGUACAAAAUCAGGCUUUAAGCCUAGUAGGCUAAGUGCCGGUGAAUCUGUUUAAAGUAUGUGAUUACAUGUAUUGGAUAUGUAUAUGAUUUCAGUUACAUGUAUUUGAUGAGUAUACAAAUGUUCAGUUAUAUGAUUUUGGUUAUAUUUAAAUGAUGAGCAUAUAUAUAUUCGGUCUAAGUAUUUGUUAAAUAUAUAUAUGUGCAUUUGGUAUAUGCAUAUAUUAAAUAUAUAUGCAUUAGGUAUAUGCAUUUGCUAAGCAAUUGAUAAAUAUAUAUAUUCGGAAAAUGUAUUCGAUAAGUAUCUAUAUAUGUAUUUGAGGUGUAUAUACAUUUGAUUAUAAGUAUUUGAUGAAUAUGUUUGCAUUCGGUUAUAUGCAUUAGAUAUGUAUUGGGUUAUAAGUUUAAGAUGAGUAUAUAUAUACAAUCGGAUAUAAUAUGUGUUUAAUAUAUAUAUACGUGUUUGGUUAUAUGCAUUCGGUCAUAAUGUUUAUUUAGUAUAUAUAUGAUCGGUUAUAUGCAUAUGAUGUAUAUGUAUACAUAUAUUCAGAUGUAUGCAUUCGACAGGUACAUAUAUUUGAUUAUAAAUAAAAUGGUUUAAGGAUAGCAAAUGCUAAUAUAAUAAUUAUUUGUGUUAUUUACAAUUUUAGUAAAUUUAAUUUGGAAAUUAUAUGACUUUUAUAUAUAUAUUAGUUAUGCUAUAGACUUACUAAGCUAUAUAAGCUUACUUUGUUUGUUUACGUCUCUCCGUUUUAUAGACUUAAAAAUUCAAGCUUCAAGCUCGGGGAUCGUCAACAAAGUUCAUCACUCUAUCUACUAUCUUGGUAUUUAAAUGUUAGAACUUAACUUAUGGCUUGUAUAAGUUGGACAUUAUUUUUGUAUGUUGUAUUUUGAGAUACUGUUUAUGUAAAUAUUAGCCAUGCGAAAAUGGCUUAUUUCCUUAUGGUUUAGAUCGUUGCAAUGUUGAUGUUUUGUUUUAAAAUAGUUAAUUUAUAUUUGAAAUUAGUCAAAUAGCCGAAUAUUCAUAAGGUAGAAUAUCAUUUAGAUUGAAUGUUAAUAGGUUAUAAAGAAUAAGUAGAUAAGUUCAGGUACAAUUUGAGUUAAACAAAUUUUCAUAUAGAUGUUAAAAUUUUUGAAUUCAAAUAAACGUCUGUUCUGAGUUGUGUUUUGUUCAGUAAUGUCUUGUAACCCUAAUUCAGUGACGGAUACGAGUUAGGGGUGUUAUAGCCAAAGCAAUUGAGGAGACUUUGGCUAAGUUGCCUCGUCCUGUGAUAACUGAAUCGGGUAAGAGGACUUCUGAUGGUGUACCUGGACGACUGUCUAAGAGAAGACGUGAAAUUCAGGGUUCUGAUGGGAGUGUAGAACAUGAUUUUCAACCAAGUGAGUUUAAGAAAUAGAGUAAUGUAGUGGUUAGUAAUAGUGGUUCGACGGGUGGUUUUAGAUGGCUGCUUUGUGUGCAUUGUGAGUGUAGGCAUUCUGGUGAGUGCCGUAAGUUGAUAGGUGUUUUUUUAAAUGUGGUUCGAAGAAACAUAUUCUGAGGGAUUACCCAAAUAGAGUUGAGGUUUCGCAGACUUACAGUUCAGCACAUGCUUCUGUGCUUGCUGAAGGUCGUGGUCACGGUAGAGGUAAUGGGAGACCAGUUGGGCAGCGAAGUGUUGCUCAUACUGUUGCUACAUUGGUUGAGUCUGGAGGUCCAGCUCAAGUUUAUGCUAUUAGGGAACCACAAGAUCAAGAUUCAAACGUCAAGAUUGAGAGUAUUUUUGCCUUGUAAUCACUUCUUUUAUUGCCGUUGAUAGAUUUAGGUUCUAUGCCUUCAUAAAUUUUAAGUGAAUUCACAUUUUAGAGAAUCCUGAUAGAGACUAGUGGGUUAGGAAAAAUGAUUACGAGUUCCUUAGACAAGAGUGUCAUAGUGAAUAAUGGAAAUUGUUGCAAAGUUACUUUAGAAUAAGUUUGUGGUAUUAAAUAGGAUCAGUAAAGAAAGUUGUAGGGAGUUAGAGAGAAUGGGAAUCAGAGUGCGAAAUGAAAGUGUGAUAGUUAGUUUAAAAGUAGAAAUAGCAUGUCUUUUGAUUAAGCAAGUGAUGUGUCAGUUGGGAAUUUUGAGGAUUGAAUUUUUUUUAGAGGGGAAAUUGUCACACCCUAAAAUAGGGCCUAGGAGUUUUAGGGGUAAUUUAGGAAGUUUAGCCUUAGAGGGAUUCAUUUAAAAUAGCCAGUGUUAUUGAAGACGCAUUGAGUUUGAAGCAAUUUCCAUACUUGUUGUGAGAUCGAGCACAAGCAUGGGUGAAUUCGUUGCCGCCAAGUUCAAUAACUACAUGGCAAGAAUUAGCAGAAAAGGUUUUUGGUUAAGUAUUUUCCACCUAGUAAGAACACCAAGUUGCGAAAUAAGAUAACCACUUUUUCACAAUUGGAUGACGAAUCCUUGUACGAGGCAUAAGAAAGAUUCAAGGAGUUACUUUGUAAGUGUCCUCAUCACAGGAUUCUACAUCGUAUCCAAUUAGAGACAAUUUAUAACGGUCUCAAUGUACACAUAAGAUUUAUGGUAGAUGUUUCUGCAAAUGGUGCAAAUUUUUUCUAAGUCUUGUAAUGAGGCUUACGAGAUCAUUGAAAGGAUCGCUAGCAACAACUAUCAAUGGCCAACAAAUCGAGCAACUUCAGGAAGACGAGUAGCCAGAGUGCACGAAAUGGACGUACUAACAUCACACUCAACUUAAGUAUCUUUUAUUUCCUCAAUGUUAAAAUAGUUUACCACUAAUGGUUCUAAUAAUUUUACAGCUCAACCAUCAAGUUAAUAUGAUGUUGUUUCUUGUGUAUAUUGUGGGAGUGGACAUUCUUUCAAGAAUUGCCCUUCAAACCCUGAGUCUAUUUGUUACGUAAGGAAUCAGUCUCAAAAUAGAAGUGGACAAGGACCAUAGUCCAACUUCUAUAAUCAUUCGUGGCGUAAUCAUCUGAAUUUUUCUUGAAGUAACCUAGGAAAUGUACCGAACAACACCUACAUGCAACAUAGACCCAACCAAUCUCAAAGGUUUAACCAACAAGCUUCAAAACCACCUCAAGGUGAAUCAUCAAACAUUCAAAAUAGAUAAGGAAUUGAAAGCUAGUGCAUUGGGUGUACGACUUCUGUAGUAUGUAGUGUCAUUCAAAAUAGUGGAAUUCAUAGCCCGAUGCAUGGGUAAAUGAUAUCCUCUCAUUGGCAUUACAUGGUUAAUGAAAAGUAAACAUGGUCAUGGGUCUUUCGUGUUUGUGAUGAAUGACUUAAUUACCAUUUGAUAUUAAUUGACUUUUCAUGAAGGAAGAUGUAGUGGUUACCAUGAGAUAAAAUAGUACUAUAUUAGGAGAACAGAUAUUAUCCCAAAAGGUCCAAGGAUAUACUAUGAGGGUAACACAUUUAUGAUAAGGUCAUUGGACGAGCAUUGAGUAGUUGUUUUUGUAAUUGUAUGUCGUUAGGGAGAGCUUAGUCAUGAUACUAUAGUGGAAUGACUCCGUGACUAAACGAGUUUAUAAUUAAUAGGCAAAAAUAUGGAACUUAUAAAUCAUUUGAGUCUCAACUAUAUAUGUUCAAUCGAUCCCUCCAGUAGCUCGUUGAAACCAUAAAUGAAUUGUGUGUUUGAAUAGAAAUGAAAAAAAAUGAAUAGAAAAAUAGAUGAGAAACAUUCAGGAAUGAUUAUGAUUUCUCUUAAAUGGAGAAAUAGAACCAUUUGGAAACGAAUGUAGGUUUUCCAAAAUGGAAAUGGAAAUGAUUCAUUUGCAAUUCUAUAUGGAUUACUUAAAAAUGAUCAAAAAAAUGAGUUUAUGUUUUUGAGCUAUUUUGAAGCACAAAAAUGAAAAUAAACUAUUUGGUGUCAUAGUGAACAUGUUAAAUAGUGAAAUAUUGAAUGAAUUUUCUUGAAAUUUUACUUAGGGUAAAAUUGUCAAAAAAAAUUGGGGGAUAAAAUUGGGAUAAGAAAAUUAUUUAAUAUGUAUUUAUUGAAGUUUAUUUUAGGAAAUAGAAAAAUAUAAUUGGGUUGGAUCAAAUUACAAAGUAUUGGGUCAAAAAGUCUGGGAAGUACUAGUAAUUAAGUCUGAUGUGAGAGAGGCCCAAAAAGCCUAUCAUGAAACACGGUGGGAUGGCAGAAUCCUAGUAUUAUUAACUAAGGUUUCCAACCCCUACACCCUAGUUGAUCUAGGAUAUUGUUUUUCUAAUGCAAAUAAACUUUUACAACUCUACAAGGGUUCUAUCUUCUCUUCCUAUAAAUAGAUGACACCGAUAUAGCUAUUUACAGAUCUUUGAGAGAUUGUUAUUAUGUCGAAAAUAGAGAUAAUAUAUUCUCAACUGUUACACAUAUUUUCAGAAUAACAAUUCUAUUUGUUUCUAUUAAAAAGAGAGAAUUUUCGUUUUCAUCCCAAAAAGGAGAGAAUUUUUAUUUUUACCCCAAAAAGGAGAGAACUUUUUUUUAAUUCUGUGUUUCGAUUUAAUUGGUUCUAGCCCACACUUGAAGUAGUUCGUGGUACGAGAAUAGCAGAGAAGAUCAUUUGGUUGAAAACUGGGAACAACAAACGUCUACUAAGCCAAAAACAUAGGUAUGAAUUCAGUUAGGGUAUAUUGCUACAAAUAUCAUAAACCAGGUCGGUUUUCAAUUUUUUAAUUUUCUGUUGUGCAAGAAAAUCAUUUUCAAACCAGAUUUUUUCAAGAAAACCGUCAUAUAAGAAAAAUCGUAAACUUGAAUGGUCAAUUAGGUAACAGACCGCUGGAAACUAUAGGCCAAAACAGUCCACUGCAGACAGACAUGUUACAUCUUAUAAGUAAUGUAACACAAAUAGGGCUAAUUACGAGGAAGUAAUCAAAAUAAUAUUUCAACCCGAAUGUAGGGUGAAAUGAGGUUUAGUCCUUCAUAGUGUCGUGGGUCCUUGUUAGAUAACUUGACUGAUGGGAUAUUAACAAGUCCUUUCAGACUACAAUAAAAAAAAAGAGUCUGCUAAGGACUAGUUAGAUUGGGAAUGUUAUGCCAAGGAAGACAUAACCAAGGGGGUCUUUAGGAUGGAAGAUUAGGAGAACAACCUUAAAGUAUAUGGCGAAAGAGAGAAUGUAGGCAAAGAAAGGACAAAGUUCGCAGUUAUUCCGAGACAUUUGAAAAAUCACCAAAUCAAGUUGGAUGGCUACAAGAUCUACUUGGGGAAGAUCAUUUAUCGAUCUAUUUGCCAAUAGACGGGAUUGGAAACUGAAUUGGAGUCCACUAUCCCAAAGUGAGAGAAAUUGUCCCGAAACGAUCAGGGAAUGAAACACAUUUGGUUUCUUUUUCAUUUAUUUACCCCCGCAAGAUGGGGUCUAUUUUUUAGUAUUGCAGUGAAGAAACUCACUAAGUUCUUAUGAACUUAUAGAAAUUUUUGCCUACGUUUGCAAGACUCGAUGGGAUAUUAGGGAUCUUGAGGAGAGACCAAGCCAGACCGUGAUAGAUCGAGGAUCAUUGUUAGUUUGGUGUCAUGCACAUAGGAAGGGGUACCUUCCAAGGCCUUGCCUCGGAGUUAGAUAUAUUGUAAUGAAAUAGUUGUUCUUAGAAUUUAGAAUUUGAAAGUAGUCAAAUUAAGUUCGGUUAAAGGUUCCUGUUGUAGAAACAUUUGUAAUAAAGUAACAAAGUCAUUCUACGAAUUUUCUAAUUAAAGUAUUAGUUCAAACCAGUUCAAUUGUAGCACUCGAUAUUUGAACUCGCGAUCAGGUCGGGUAAGGGCGUUACAAUGUAGGAGGAAUUUGAUAAUUGACCAUUUAUUGUGUUUAAUUUUGAUAUAUUUUUAAUGAGAUAUCACUAAUUUUGAACUUGUUAUUUGAUUUGUGAUUUAGUGCAAAUCAAAUUCGAUAAAGUCAAAAAGAAUCGAAAUUGUGGACCACCAAAAGACUUUUGGCCUAGAGAAUACAUUAAUGAACAAAGAUUUUUGGAUACUUUUAGUUUGAAAUUUUAAUUGUAAAACUUUUACUAUUAAAUUUUUAUUAAGAUAAUAUUUUAUUUUCUAGUAAAUUUUUUUAAUUUUUGAAUAACUUCUUAAUAUUAUAUUAAGAGGUCUAGGUAGGAUUAAGGUGAUAGGAGAGGAGGGCGCCACCCAUUAUACUUGGAAUCUGAGCAAAUCAAUUUUGCAAUCUUAAUUUCCCUGUUCUAUUUCUCCUCUGUUGGCGCGAUAUUCCGCAAUAUCUCUCUUUUGUGGUAUAUGUCUAUUUUCAUGAGUAACUAAACCUCCAAUCUAGUUUUAUAUCGAUAAUGGAUGCGGGAGAUAAUAGUGAUAUCUAAAAUAAUACUUAAAAACCCUCAUUUCAAUAUUUGUUAUUUUUUCUGUUUAGGAGAUAGACAUCGUCAUCUUAUAAAGUCAUAAUAGCAUCAAGUCAAAAAGAGUUCAUUAAUUCGAUGUUGUGCAACAUAUAAUUAGAAGAACUGAUAUGAUUUAUAAUUAUCGUAAUUGGCCCAUUAAAAAAUAAAUUGACAUGAUCAAUUGAGUGAGUUGUUAAAUUUGUCAAAGGAAAGAACAAUCAAAUUUAAACGACUCACACGAUUGAGGUUGUUGAUUCGAGUCGGGUCCUUCUAACUCACAAAGCUAUUGAAGAGCUAAAUCAUGGAUGCUGGUUCAGGGUUGUUCGUUCGGUAAGAGAUAAUUGUCAAGCGUUCUCACAGUUAAUUUAUAUACAGAAAGGCUGGUGAUCUAAGGCAUUCCUUGAUCAUUAUAACAAACUUAUCGAUUGGAGAAGAAGAUUUGUUGUUAAAUAUCUAUUCGAAACCGGAACCAAAAUUGAGCCUCUAAACCUGGAGUAUUGUCACAUUGGUUUAUCCAAUCAUAUGUCCUUCCGUUUAUUCCAUUGCAAUUUUGAUUUUUUUUAUUUUUUUAUUUUUAUUUUAAUCAAAUUUAGUUUCUCAUACAGAUUGACACAUGUGGGUGUAAUACUCGAUUUUUACCCCGGUACAAAAAAUGGCCCCAAAAGAAACAGUCCAUUUACAAUCAAAUAAGCCCGAACCCAGACCCGAUUUUCAUUAAACUACAGAGGCCCAAAUACAGUGGCCCAAAACAGAUGAAAAACCCUAGGGACUAAGAGCGCCGCAAGCCAAGCCUUGCCCUCCGAAUCUCUGCGUGAUCCUACCUGCACAACAAAGGAAAGAAGCAAAGCAAAAUAUGGCAAAAAAUCUCGAAAUCAAAUCAAGCAGAUGCUGGAGGAUUUCUGUUUAUUUUUUUCUUUAUUUUUCUUCUUGUUUCACGAUUGCUAUAAAGAGCAAUCUUAAUACACUGCAAAGGGAUCCGAAUUCGAAAAUCAAUAAAAAAAGCUAUUAUUUUUACAGCAAAAAAAAAACAGAAUACCAAAAGAGCAAAGACCGAUUGAGAAAAAUCCAAAGGUUGAAACUUUUUUUUCGAACUGUUGUUUCUAUUCUUCUUCCGCAUUUUAUUACAAAUAUAUAAAAAGAAUAAAAAUAAAACGGAAAGGGGGUUGACAGCGUACCUGAAAUCGGGUCGUGUGCUACUGUCGGAGGUCUCCUCCGUUCGUUGCGGCCACAAAAAACCCUCCAGGGGCUUCUCUCGGAGCGCAAGCGGAAAAACAAGGCCGAAAGGCCAUUCUUUUCCCUUUUUCGUUUCAUUUACAGAGAGUCUAAGCCUAAGUUAAAUAUUUUUUUUUUAAAAAAGGAAAAAGAAUCUAAAAAAAUUCUGGCUUUAGGCCUUCCGGCACGGCGGUGCUACGACGGAUGUGGCGGAGCCACCGCGCGAGAUCGCCGGCGCCAUAGGCCGGAUUUAGAGGCUGAAAGUUGAAAGGUUUUCAGGGUUUUUUUUCAAAAUGAAAUGGAAAAAAUGAG